This 52391-nucleotide long non-coding RNA is filed under the name Panax ginseng (ginseng). RNAcentral describes it as "long non-coding RNA (PGIN_LNC017046)". The stretch from base 28177 to 28300 matches the Rfam family "MIR6135 microRNA precursor family". The record is from RNAcentral. Lineage: Eukaryota; Viridiplantae; Streptophyta; Magnoliopsida; Apiales; Araliaceae.
CAAGAGUACCUCCAGAAUGUAACGAGCCAUCCACAACUCAUCUGCUGCUGAGAUACCUACAGCAGGUCCAACUUGAAACUCCCACUAUUAAACACAAAGAAAGGUUUGAGUUUCAACAAUACUUAAGAGUAACAAUGGAAUUCCAUAUUUUAUUUUUAUUUUUCGGUAUGUGUAGAUUGUGGUUGGUUUAUAAUUACUAAAAAACAUUCAGAGUAAAACAAGAAAUCGUCCAAAAGGUUGAACUGACCUGUCCUGGCACAACUUCUCCGUUGAUGCCACUUAUGUUGAUGCCAGCAUAGAGACAUGCUUUAUAAUGAGCAUCAACAAUGUCCCUCCCAAAGGCUUUGUCUGCACCAACCCCACAGUAGUAUGGUCCCUGAAAAGUUUUUCGCUUCAAUGUAUCAAGAUGAUACUUACCAACAAGAAUCAAUAUACACACACACACACACACAAAUAACAGAUAAAAGUCUGCUGGAAAUGCAAAAAAUGGAAAGGAAACUUUAGCAAAUUACUAUAAUAUAAGAAAAUGGGAUAAGUAGCUUCGAAUAUAGCUUAAAUCUUAUGCAACAAGAAUUCUUUAGAACUUGGAAGUCCAAAAUCAAGUGUGUGUAAUAAAAGGAAUCUCUUACAUUUCACACACUUCCAAUUUUCUAUUGUUCAAAUGUAAAUCAUAUUAUUAAAGAAGAAGUUGCAAGUUUAUACCUUGUUCAGAAGUGUUUCCACGUUCUGUUUUCACAUACUGUUUUGUAAUAUAUUUUUCAAGAUUUUCAACAUUUGUUAAAUAUUUUGUUUACCUUGCUUUUUUGCUUUUAAUUUUAGUAAAUCAAUUGCAAGUCACCUAUUUUUGUUGGACAUAAUUCUAAAUCAUAUAUUCCCUCUGUUCUCGAAAGGAUGUCCUCAAGUACAAAAUAUUUUGUCCACAAAAUGAUGUCUAAAAGUAUACAAGUUAAAUACUUCCCCUAGUUAACUUUUUGUGCAUAUUAAGAAAGAGAAUAAAAUGACAAUUGUUCACAUUUAAAACUAAAGUUAUCAAAAAAAAAAAAACUUCUCAUUGCAAUCAAUUGCAUUAAUGCAUUUAAUACGACUUCCAACCCUUUAAGUAUUUGAAUUCCUUCAAAAAGUCAUAAUAACUUCUCACCUACUAGCAUAGUUUUUUGUACAUGAUGAAUAAUACUCCAUAAACAUUCACAGAGAAUAUAAAAUAUAGAACAAUUAAUACUAAGGGUAUUAUAGGAAAAUUUUUGUAAGAAAUAGAUUAUUUAAGGUAAGUGGGAAUUAACUUGGAACUAUCCAAAAUAAUACUCCCUCCGUCUCAUGAUAAAAGUCCUUAUUACUAUUUUGAGUAGUCCUAUGUUAAAUGUCCACUUUUCUUUAAUAACCAAAUUUUUACACAUUUUUUUCUAUUAUACCCGUAACAUUAAAUAUCUCAUACUUUUCUUAUUCUAAUUCUCUCUCCAUAUUUAAUAAGUAUAAUUAGUUAUGUGCUGAAAACAUUUUGAAUUGGAAAAUUAGAAAUUCACUCUCUCACCUACAUUGAAAAUAAUUAAUGACAUAUUAUUAUGAGUAAUUUUGUCAUUUCAUUCCUCUUCUUAAUAUGCGUGAAAAGUUCACCAGGACUUUUAUUCUAGGACGGAGGGAGUACUCCCUUCGUCUCUUAAUAUAAGUCGUUUUAGAGUUAUGCAUAAGUAUUAAGAAAAUGAUUGUAUAGCAUUAAAUAUAAUAUCAAUUGUCUAUAUUGUCCUUGUAUUGAAAAAAGUGUUAUUUAUUGGACAGAAAAUAGUUAGAGAACCAAAAUUAUAUUUAAUACUUGGAGUAAUAUUGAAAACUAAGCAAUUAAUGCUUACUUGAAAUUCUCAAACGACAAAUAUUAAGAGACAAACAUUUCUCUAAAACGACUUAUAUAUUAAGAAACGGAGGGAAUAUUAAAGACUUUUAUCCUAGGACAGAGGGAAUAUAAUAAGUCUAAAAUAAUAAGUCUAAAAAUUAGUUUACCCUCAAAAGUAUACUAAGGUGGGGUCCACUAAGUUUAAAAGAGAAACAUUUAUUAGUGUACAACUAUGGACAAAAAUUAGUAAUUAUUUAUACUCUCUCCUCUCCUUUUGUUUUCUUAAUGUAUGUGAAACUUGUACUUUGGCCAUCUCACGAAGGGAACAUUACUUACUGAUCAUCCCAAUUUUUUAUAAUUUAUUAUUUAUUUUUCAUAAAUUUUUAUUCUAUUAGAUUUUAGUUUUUUGCUUUUGUUGUUUUUCUAAUUUUCUAAAAUAUGUUAAAAUUUGUUAUGUUUCUAUAAAGAGAAUGUUUUCUUACAAUAAGUUUUUAUUCUUUCACGUAAAAACGUAUUCCUCUUUUUUGCACUAUUGGCUUCUUACAAAUAAAAAAGUCAAAACUGGCUAAACAAAGUACUGGAAAAUUUAAGCACAAAAAUAGAGUUAACAAAACACUGUCCAGACAAGGCCUAGACUAUAAGAGAGUGUCAAGAAAAAGGCAGUGUGAGGAGAGAGCGCAGGUAUAGAAAGUGUAUUGGCUAAUAAAAUAAUCAAAUGAUAUGUGAUGUUCUAUUUCUUAAGAAAUUUUGUUUAUUAUGUCAAAAUUUGGAAUACUACGCAGAAAUAAACCAACUAGGGAACUAUGAAGGGGGGAAAUAAAUUCACAAAAGAUUCUUGUUAAAAAGAAGCACUUGUCAGCAAUUUAACCAACAUUUUGAGAAUAUAGACAUUUACAAGAGAAUAAGAUGAGAAACCACAAAUAAAGUGUUUGACAAAGAAUAAAGACUUACCUGAGGCCCAGAAAAUUUUCCUGCAGGACACCCAAUAGGCCACUUAACAUCUUUUUGCAACAAGGUAUACUCUUGUUCAAUAGCAAACCUGUUAUAUUAUAUUGAAUUUAAAGCAGUUUCCAAGUACAGGAAAUAAUAUGUUUAAAAAUCAGAACAAAGAUCAAGAAACUAUUUCACAGAAUACAAUUGUAUACCAGGGUACUUCAAAAGCAACAUCAGGAUGACUGAAAAUCUUGGCUGCAUUACACCUCAUGUUUGUCAGAAUUGGCUUACCAUCUGGAGUGUAAGCAUCACACAUUACCUACCAAUUAAGAAAGAGAAAGAACAAGUGUUGGGUCCUACAUACUGUUUGGAAACAAACUAAUAAUAGAAGUACACUUAUUCAGAAAAAUUAAAUGAAGCAAGCCAAAAUACAAAGGAACUGAAAGUGAAGAAACAAAUAACUUACCAAAAUAUUGUUGCCCCUUCUGAAUGGGUCUUUAAAAAUAGCUUGAGGACUGUGUCAUUACAUCAUCAUCGCCCACAGACAAAUAUCCAUUACUUGUAUACAGACGAGUAAUAAAGAGUGGAAGAUCAAAAUAAAGGGUUAAAGAACUUACUAUAGGAUCACUUCGCUAUCUUCGCCCAAAGCUUGACCUGUGCUAGAACCAUCAUAGUUCCAUUUGGGAAGCUUGCUGGAAUCAUCAACAGGUCCUGAAAGGGUCUAUAUAAAAACAAAACCACGUAUAUGAGCAGUGAAGAUGAAUGAACAAUAUUCACAACAUCACUGGGAAGUAUGUUACUAAAAUAAAAUAUUACCCUUGCUUUACUUCUAAGAUCCACACCAGAUCCACCAAUCCUAUUCAUAGAAUCAAGAUUGCAAGAGAAUCGAGUUAAAUUUCAUAAAAUAAUGAAAAGAAUUUGUUACAUUUAGCAAUUUAUGUUAUACGUAUUCACUGACAACACCUAAUACUUCAAGUUCCAUUGACUAACAAGAACAAGGGAUUCAGGGUUAUUAGACUAAUGAGUAAUAAACAGAAAUGGUCACAUUACCAAAAACAGAGCAGUCCCGUAAAUUAAAAGUAUAGCUUAUGAAGAAACAGAACACUAAAAGGAAAUUUAAAGAAUUAAAAAGAAAAAGAAAAGAAGCUAUAUUUAAGAGAAAAACUCACCAUAUAUACUCAGCAAUUAUAUUCUCUGUCGAGUUGGAGAGGUUAAGAUUGAUAAAAUCUGAAAGCAAAGCCAUAUUUGAAACCUUUAACUUUCUCACUCCAAGUCUCCAACUAUAGUUGUAUGCAGAGAUGAGAAGAAUGAGGUAAUGAGUUGCUUUUAUAGUGUUGUCUAUAAAUAUUAACACCUAUCCACUUAGGUUGCAUGUUCUUGUAUCCGUAUCCAGAAUUCGUAUCUGAAUAACUUUAUAUAUGUACAUAUGUAUACAUGUAAGUUAUUAAUUAAUGUUAUUUAUUAAUUAAUGCAGGUAUUAUAAUUUACAUGGAUUAAUUAAUAACUUACUAUGUAUAUAUAUAUGUACAUAUAUAUGUACAUACAAGUUAUUAAUAUAUAUUAAUAACUUACAUUCAUUAAUUAUAUAUAUAAUCGAAUAACUUACAUAUAUAUAUAUAUAUAUAAAACAUGUAAAUAUGAUAGUUCCACAAACUCCUCCUCACAUGAAUAAUAAGUGGGAUCCACCCUCACUAAUGUGAGACAGUACCUUGUGGAACUAACAAUUUUACUUGUGAAAAUAUCAAUUUCCUAUAUGUGUGUGUGUGUGUGUGUGUGUGGGUUAUCAUCCAUAACAACCGGUUGCUAUAGACACUAUUCUAGCAACCAACUUGUCAGUCGUAGAUUUAAUAGGAAGGCUAAGAUGGGAAAAAAUAUAUUGUCAGCUGCUACAACAUGUAACGGCCCAAACAACAUACUCUAGCUGCUUCUAUUUUAAUAAAAGUCAAAUUAACUUGCUAAUGUGGGCCCAUAUUGUCAAAUAGAAAGAUAUAAAAUAAAUUUAUUUUUUUAUAUACCAACCGCUAAAGCUUGUAGCGGCUUGGUCUUAAUAUUUUUUUUAUAACGUGAGCCAAAUUUUGAGAAAUAGAAUGAUAAAAAGGGAAUUUAUUUUUUUUUAUAUACCAACCGCUAUAGCUUGUAGUGGUUUGAUCAUAAUUUUUUUUUGUGUCAUCCGUUGUCCCACUUUGUUGGUAAUAGUGUUAUUACUUGUCUUUUUAUUAUUAAUACUAAUAUUAAUUAAAUGAGAAUUAAAAAGGCAAUUAAUAUUACAAUAUUAUCUUUCUAUCUCUCAAUUUUCUUACAACGAAAGUCAUUAAAAAAAAAAAACAAGCCGCUACAUCUUGUAGCGGUUGGUAAUAGUGUUAUUACUUACCUUUUUUUAUUAUUAAUAUUAAUUGCCUUUUUUAUUACUAAUACUAAUAUUAAUUGCCUUUUUUAGUAAUAUUAGUAAUUGCCUUUUUAGUAAUAAUAUUAGUAAUUAACUUUUUAUUACUAUUACUAAUAUUAAUUGCGUUUUUAUUACUAAUACUAAUAUUAAUUGCCUUUUUAGUAAUAUUAGUAAUUGUCUUUUUCGUAUUAAUAUUAGUAAUUGCCUUUUUAGAAUUAAUAUUAAUUGCCUUUUUAUUACUAUUACUAAUAUUAAUUGCCUUCUUAUUAGUAAUACUAAUAUUAAUUGCCUUUUUAUUACUAAUACUAAUAUUAAUUGCCUUUUUAAUUAUCAUUUAAUUAAUAUUACUAUUAGUAAUAAAAAGACAAAUAAUAACACUAUUACCAACCGCUACAAGAUGUAGCGGCUUGGUUUUUGUUUUUUUUUAAAUACCUUUAGUGUUGUCUUUAGUAAUAAAAAAAGCAAGUAAUAACACUAUAACCAACCGCUACAUGCUUGAUUUUUAUUUUAUUUUUAUUUUUUUAAUGACUUCCGUUAUAAAAAAAUUGAGAGAUGGAAAGAUAAUAUUGUAAUAUUAAUUGCCUUUUUUUGCCUUUUUAAUUCUCAUUUAAUUAAUAUUAAUAUUAGUAAUAAAAAGGCAAGUAAUAACACUAUUACCAACAAAGUGGGACAACGAAUGGCACAAAAAAAAAAUUAUGACCAAGCCACUACAAGCUGUAGCGGUUGGUAUAUAAAAUAAAUAAAUUCCCUUUUUAUCAUUCUAUUUCUCAAAAAUGGGCCCACGUUAUAAAAAAAAUAUUAAGACCAAGCCGCUACAAGCUGUAACGGUUGGUAUAUAAAAAAAAUAAAUUCAUUUUAUAUCUUUCUAUCUGACAAUAUGGGCCCACAUUAUCAAGUUAAUUUGACUUUUAUUAAAAUAGAAUUGACUUUUAUUAAAAAUAAGUUACUAGAGUAUGUUGUUUGGGCCGCUACAUGUUGUAGCGGCUGGCAAUAUAUUUUUUCCCAUCUCAGCCUUCUAUUUAAUUGAUCUACGGCUGACAAAUUAGUUGCUGGAAUAGUGUCUAUAGCAACCGGCUUCUAUGAAUGAGAACCUAUAUAUUUUAUAUAACUUUAUCCUCUGAUUACUGGGUUAUAUAUUUUAUGGAUCCGGUUAGCAUGAAGUUUAUUUUCUGGUAAGUUGGUUAAUUGGCCAAUAGAAUACUGACACAUAUAAUCUUGUNNNNNNNNNNNNNNNNNNNNNNNNNNNNNNNNNNNNNNNNNNNNNNNNNNNNNNNNNNNNNNNNNNNNNNNNNNNNNNNNNNNNNNNNNNNNNNNNNNNNAGCAAUCGACAAUAUAAUUUUAUUGUUAAAAUGUGUUAGGUCCAAAUUAAUUUAGAAUUAAUCUAGAAGAGAGUCAUUAAUUAAUAUUACAUAUAUAAAUAUAUAAGUUAUCAAUUAAUAACUUACAUUAAUUAAUAACUUACAUAUAUAUAUAUAUACAUAUAUAUAUAUAUAUAUAUAUAUAUAUAUAUAUAUUAACUUACAAAACUAUAGCUAUUAACUUGUUACAAGUUUUUUACUUUCAAAACAUACUUGUGAUGCCGAGAGGCGAGGGCAAUGGACAAUAUAAUUUUAUUGUUAAAAUGUGUUAGAUCCGAAUUAAUUUAGAAUUGAGGGUUGAAUAGAUUAAUUCACAUUUAUGAAUUUCGGGUAGAGAGUAUUUAUCAGUUAUCACUUUCAUUUGCCCAAUUAUUUAGAAACUAGAAGUCCAAAUAUUUUAAGUAAACUCAAGGUCAAUUUUGGAUCAAGUUGGAUUAACUAUUUGUCACACAUACAUUAUAACUCACUCUCCAUAAAUAUAAUGAAAUGAAAUAAAUUUUUUUAUAACUAUGUAAUCCAUGUAUUAAGGAUAAAUAAUAAAUAAAACUCCACAUAAACAUAUUAUUAAAGUUUUAAUCAAGUAUUUGAGAAAAAAUAAUAAAUAUUCAAUGUUAACUUUUGAAUCUACACACUACAAUAUUAUCCCACGCGCAUAAAAUUGACAUCUACUUAUUAAUGAACAUCUAAACAUUAAUAAGUAGAGCAUAAUAUUUGAAAUUUAGGAUUUCAAAAUAAUGAAAACUUAUUUGAAUUGUAAUUUAGAGCAUUCAUUAUUGUAGUUAUUAAAAAUAAAUAAAUUAAACAUUCAUUCAUUAAUGAAUUAUACUUUAAAACUCAUUAAUUUUUUUCUUAUACUAGUUAUAGUUGUAAUUAAAGCAUUCAUUUUGAAAUAGGAUUUCGAAAAUGAUGAAAACUUAUUUGAAUUGUAAUUUAGCGCAUUGAUUAUUGUAUUUAUUAAAGAUAAAUAAAAUAACAUUCAUUCAUUAAUCAACUAUACUUUAAAAUUCAUUAUUAUAUUAAUUUGACUAUUUAUAUAUUUUAAUAAUAUACUUUUAAAAUUAUUAUUUUAAUAUGUUUACUUUAUGUUUAGAAUAUUUUUUUUGUAGUGGUUCAAGUUUAUAAUAAUCUAUGCAUAUAAAUUUUGAAUUGGGAUUUAAAACUAAUACAUAUAUUAUGUAUACUAAUACAAAUAUAUAGAAUAUACUAGAAUCUGUAUAAAUCAGCAUUCUACUAAGUGGAGACCCAUUAGAAUCAAGGAUUGACUCACAAAAACCGUUGGAUCAAGUUCUACUUCUAUCUCAAUCGUUCAUUCAAAUCACUCAACAUGCAACCAUUAGAACAAAGCUAUCAAAAGUUGGAUUUAAUCCCAACCGUGGAUCAUUUCCAUCAAAUAAUCCAAACUGUUACAUCAGGUAAGCAAGCAUAAAUAUAAAUAUAAACAAUAAAAAGAAAAUUCCAUUUUUUUUCUUCUUUCUCUCUCGUCUCAACUGUUCUCUCUUCUCUCUCAUUAAAAGUAUUUUUAAAUUCUAAUUUUUCUAACUUAGAUCUAGCCAAAUCAAAACAUGUUUUUUGAAAAAUUGCUCCAAUUAAGUCAUUCAUAAGUAUAUUAACUACAAUUCUACCGAUUUGUUUUUCAAAAAUCUGUUUCCAAAAUUUCAAAAUCUUCAAAAAGUUUCUUUUAAAUGUCUAAGCUAGAUUUGUAAAAUAUUCUCUCAAAUAACCCAUGAUUUGUUCAUAUGUUUCUGGGUAAACUCGUUUCAAUAGUUUUUUAUUCAAUACUUGAUUUAGAAUAUUAAAAGAUUUUUUAAAAAAAGAAUUGCCGAAAAAUGUUAUAGAUCUUAACAUUUACAAAAUCAUUCAACCUUCGGGGGUUAUAUCCUUUUUACAUAUUUGGAGCAUGAAAUUUUCUUAUUUUAUGGGCUGAAUCUGUGGAGUAUUUGAUGUAGAACGGGCUAGGAAGAAGAAGGAAUAAGAGUACAUAUCUCCAUAGAAAAUCGGUAAAGAAACACACAAGCACACAGAUUUAAUCCCAAAUCAAUAUAUUCAAUAAUUUAAAAUUAAUGAAGUAUUACAAUGCUUAAAUAGAAAACCCAAAACUGGGAGAUUAAGUAAAAAUCCUAAUUUAAAAAAGAAACAAUCUCCUAACUAAAAUCUACUACCAUAAUAAACUCUCCUAAUUGAAAUCUACUACUAUAAUUAAAAUUCUCAUAAUUAAAAGCUACUACUAUAUUAUCAUACUAAAUAAUUUCAUUAAUAACUCAAUAAUUAUCUCUAAAUAACAAUACAAAUUAAUAAUAAAAUUUUUGAAUUUCUUUUUCCGUUUCGCAUCAUUCUCCUCGCCUUGGAAAAAAAUCGUCCUCGAGUUUUGAAAUAUCAUAGAAAAAUAAACCACAGUCCGAGAGAUGUCUUCGAACAAAACAUUCGCAUCCUAUAUUUUAAUGUCAUGAGCACAUUUUACGAGAAUAACAAUGACAUAAUAUAAAAUUUUGAAGUAGUUGGGGACUCAAAUGUAUCAACUGGAAAGAGAAAAUCAACAUGGUUGACCUCAACUUUAUCUUCCUUGAUGUUUUCGCAUUUGGGGUCAAACUUAACUUCAAUUUCCUCACUGCAAACCAUCUCUGAAAAUUGUUCAACACACUUAACUUCCGCUUUAAAUUUCUUACAAGCAUCAAUUUGUGAGAGUACUAGCUCUUCUUUAUCCUCACCAAUUUCAUAUUGGUUAUUGAGACGUUUAUGUAUUGUGAGACAGUCAUCAAUUGUCUUAUAAAAAUUUACUUUGCAAGUCUCCUCUUGUGAACGUGUCACUUUAGUUGAACAAACACUAUUAGGAUGAAAAAAAAAAUUGUGCUUGAACAAAAUAUGGACAAACAAAGCUUGUGGUUAUGUACCCGUAAUGUUGCAAACUUGUUUCAGAAAGUGCAAGUUCAUCACAUAAUUUCCAAUAUUCGGCAUUAUACGAGACAUAAGACCAUUUAACUAUUUAAGUUACUCGCAUAUGACCAAAGUAUAAUACUCAAAUUGCUUUAUCUUUAGCCCAAAGAAAGUCUGGAUUGUUAAACGUGGAAGACAUAUAUACGUAAGGGGGCUAAAUUGAAAAUUUCAAAAACUUUGGGGGUUAAAUUGAAAACUCAAACUGUGGGAGCUAAAUUAAAUAUUUCAGAAACUUUAGGGGUUGAAUUGAAAGUUUUAGAAACUUUGGGGGGCGGAAUUGAAAAUUUCAGAAACUCAAAGGGUUGAUUUAAAAACUUCAUAAACUUGGGGGUACCAAGUGUAAUUUGUCAUAACAUCAGAAAUUUGACAAACAGUGUCGCGCACUGUAGCGAUGAACAAUGACAACUUUUUUUUUGGAAUAGAUUGAGACUACGACGACGACGAUUCCUGCUACAGAUCGUGCUUUUGUCCCGAAAAAUUGUUUUUUAUUUUCUAGUGAACUUCAACAAUUUGAUGGAGGCCAGAAAAUUAGGGUAGGAAAGAAUUGGGAUAAAUCAAACGAUAUCAAGAAUUUUGGCUCUUGAUACCAUUAUGAUGUAGGAUGGGGGUUUUGGGACAAAGAGACAAUUCUCAUGCAAAACCGAAUCAAUUAAUCAUUCAAUAUCCAAAUAAUGAAAUACAUCACUAUUUAUAAUACUUCUAAAUAACUUUCCUAACCUAAAUUGGACUCUUAUACGAAAACUAUAAAUUAAAAAAAUAAUUAAAAUACAACUUCUAAUUCAUAUAGGCUUCCAAAGCCUUUUAUAUUGUUCUAACCAACUUUCACGAACUCGUCCUACAUCAUUUCUCCUCCACUGAAAAAAACUCGACUCCGUUGAGUUAUCAACACAAGAACAAUCACGUCAGAAAUUUGGCAUAUCGAGAGCGCAAGUAAGUGAAUUUGGUAUUGCCUUUGAUAAUCGAAUAGAUAUUAGCACGAGCAUCAUGUUGUACGUGACGAUCCCAUAGCCAUUUACGCCCUAAGAUAAUGUGAAAUUUUAAGGGGUAGAACAUCACACAUAACAGUAUCCUUAAGCUUGCCAACGGAAAAUGUAACCAUACACCUCUGGGUAACCCGCAACUUUGUAUUGGUAAUCCAUGCAACAUCAUACGACUCCGGGUGAAGCUCAACUUUUAACCUAGGUUUCUUAACUGUUUCCUCAGAAAUAACAUCCGUACAACUUCUAGUAUCACAAGAGAACAUAUAUGUCCUGUACAUAUGACUCGUCUGAAAAAUUCGCCCACGAUGGAUUUUAGGAUCAUCCUUGUGUUUCUGUGCAACAAGUAAAGGUCGAAGAACACCUAAACAUCCUUCCAAAUGAGCGUCAGCUUCUAAAUCUUGCUCAUCGGGCUCAUCUUCGUCGUCUAUCGGCUUGCAAACCUCUUCGUUUAAAUCAACUUUCCUGCACGCUUUGUCAACAAUAGCAAGUUGUCUAGAGGGAGAAGAGACAACAUUCAUCUUCGGGGAAGGACACUCAAAAGACAUAAGACCAAAACCACGACAGUUAUAACACCUAGACGUAAGGAUGUUGCUAGCAUUAGAAGAACCUAGAAUACGAUUAGGCCCACUAGUAGCUGAAGGGCUUGUUGACGCUCUUUUCAUAGGCCUAUUUAAACCAGGCUUCACAAAAGUACUCUCCCUUCUAAUUUGGACUUGUAAUGAAGGCCUAACAUAAUUCCUUUUAAAAUUAUCCUCUACUUGGGUGACAACUUAAACAACAUCAUCCAAGAGCAAAAGUUUACCUGUAGCUACACCACCUGCAAUCUCCAAAUUCAAUCCUCGACGGUACAUGGAGAUUAAAACUUCCUCAACCCAAGAAAAUUCAGACCGUGUAACCAAAUUGAAGAACAUUGAAGUAUACUCGACUACAAAUUUACUUGUACCUACUCAGUUAACUGCAAAUAUGCUCGCUCCUUAUAAUCCAAAGGUACAAAACGUCGUGUCAAUGCAGCCUUCAUAUCCUCCCAUCUUCUCGUAGCUAUUUAUAAAUUUCAUUGAUGUUGAUCCCACCAAAUACGAGUUGUUCCUUUCAACUUCGCUUCAACAAAGAAAAGUUUUAAUUCAUACCAAUGAAAGAAGCUCUCCAAACUAUGAAUCCAAUCGAAGAAUGUCUCGGGACCAUUAUCGCCAUUGAAAUCUCCAACAUCUAAUUCUAAAGAUUGCAAAAAUGGCUCAGUCACGGGUUCCCAUUUAGAGUAAGACAUUGAUGUGGAUGACUCUAACAUUUCAUUCACCUUGUUUACAUAUUCUGUUUCAUCCCAAUUUUGACCAAAAUAAUUUAGACAAAAAUUAAAAUUUUCUUCUUCUCCCGUAAGUUCAUUUUCAGGGUUGGUCAAAAAAAUCACUUAGUUGCUUUCCCACAUUAAAAACAUUUAAAUCAAUUGUUAUGUUCCCAAAUGUCAAUUUCAUUAGUUCAUUUCUACAAUUGAUUAACGCAUUAGAGGUUGCUAGAAAUGGUCUACCUAAAAUGACAGGAAUUUAACCCUUGGGAUUGACAACAGGCUGGGUUUCCAGGACAACAAAGUCAACAGGGAAGACAAAAUCACCAACCUUAAUGAGUACAUCUUCAACUAUUCCUUUUGAUACUUUAGCGGAACGGUCAGCUAGUUGGAGUAUGACACUUGUCUUUUUCAACUCCCCUAAGCCUAAGGUUUGGUACAUAGAAAAUGGUAACAGGUUCACACUAGCUCAUAAAUCAAGCAAAGUUUUUUCAAUUAACGUGUCACUUAUGAUGCAUGACCGGGAUCCUUAUACUUCACAGGAACUUGACAUGACAAGAUAGAACAAACAUGAACUGCUAGAAAAGCUUUCUUAGGAUCAUGAGUGGUUCUUUUAUGUGUGCACAAAUCUUUUAGACAUUUAGCAUACGAGGGAACUUGUUGAAUGGCAUCUAGAAGAGAAAUGUUAAUUUUCACUUGUUUGAACACUUCUAGAAUUUUGUCCAACUGAGCUGAUUGCUUGUUUAAAACAAGUCUUUGAGGAAAUGGGGCUUUUGGUUUAAAGACUUUUUCAGUUGAUUCAGAUGAUGUGGUUUGAUCAUUUUUUGACACAAGCUUAGUAAAUGGGUCUACUGACUCAGAGUUUGUGAGCUUUUCAGGCUGGAAAUUUUGGAUUGGUCUCGGGUUGAAUGGGAAACUUACCCUUCUCUCUUUCAUUAAUUGUAGUGGCCAAUUGACUAAUUUGGGUCUCUAAACGAGAUAAUGCUUGGUUAGUGUUUUGCUGAUAUUUUAUUAAAGUUUCCACUCUUCUCUAAGGUGUUAAGUCUUCUCUCACUUUCAUUAGAAAAACCUUAUGAAUAUUGAGGUGCUGAAUUUGAAUUUUGGUACGGACCAAGAUUUGGCUUUUAGUAAGGUUGAAAAGAUUGAUUUAGAGACUGAUUGACCUGAUUUGAAGAGUUAUUUGGGUAAGGUCCUUGGUUCCAUGCAAAAUUAAGAUGAUUUCUCCAACCUGGAUUAUAAGUGGGUGCAAAUGGGUCAUCCAUAGGUCUUUGAAACAUUGCAUUGACUUUUUCAUAUUUUUCAGCUUGGGACAUGACUCUAUUCCUCAAUCACAUCACAUGACUUGGUGAAUUACACCUUAGACACAAAGGUGUUGUUGAGACUUGGUUCACGUGUGAUGGUCCCCUAAUUUCUAAAGUUUCGAGUCUUUUAAGUAUACCAGUCAACUUAGCUUCGGUAACAAUUGAAUUGUCAAUUUUAUGAACACCCCUAGCUGAACUAGGUUUAUCGGUCUCUCGAGUGGUUUCCCAUUGCAUGGUUUUUUCUACUAAGUCUUCCAAAAACUCCCAAGCCUUUUCCUCAUCAUUAUUUAGAAAAUCCCUUUACACAUUGACUAACAUUAUUUUAGUGGGAUAGUCUAAACCUUCGUAAGCAAUUUGGCAUAAUCGCCAUUUCUCAAUUCCAUGGUGUGGACACUGGGAUAACAAAUUUUUAAAUCUAUCAAAAUAUUUCCAGAAUGACUCUUUUUCAAGUUGGAAAAAUUAAUGAAUUACAGUCCUAAUUUUAGCAAUUUUAUGAUUUGGAAAAUAUUUUUUUAGAAAUGUAACAAUAAAUCCCUCCCAAGUUGAUAUGGAAUUAUUUGGUAGACUAUAUAACCACUUUUUAGCAUUAUCUUUUAAAGCAAAUGUGAUAAAUCUUAGCAUUAUUGAGUCAUCAGACAAUUGUUGAAUUUUCAUUAAAGCACAAACUUCCUCAAAUUCCUGAAUAAAUAAAUAUGCAUCUUCUAUCCCCGUGAACCUAGGUAACAUAUUUAUAAAAUGCGGUUUAAGUUCAAAAUUGUUACCAGUUACCGAUGGUAGACUGAUACAUGAAGGUUGGGCAGAGCAGGAAGAAUAACAUCAAUCCCUUAAAGAAAUAGUUUGUGUCCUCCAUUUUUCUUAAAGUGAGAUCAUUUAAAGAGAAAUUCGAAAAAUCAAGUUUUCUCACUAAUCGCGAUGUUUCAUCCCUAGUCCACACUUUUUGCAUACACUACUUAGCAAAUAAGCAGAUAAGCACAAAAAAAACAAAUAAGAGGAAAAAAUAAUUAAAAAAAUUACUUCUAAGGUCAACCUAAAUAAAAUCUAUACACCUCCUAACUGUUCCAAGUUACACCACAAGGUUCACCAAAUUCGAAAUUAAUCAAACCACUAGUCAGGUAAAUGUAAGAAAGGUGAGUCUCCGUAAAUGCGGUGACUAAUUGAAUAAUCACACGUUCUUUAGGCGUUUAUCUUUUGAACCACUUGCCUAGACACCAACAAUUUGAUUGACUUAAAAUUCAGCCUCCUCUUCAAGUUUCUUGUCCUAAUUGAGCUCGAGAGUCCUAGGGGCCAACGUCUACUUGAUUUUAUUAGAUCAAAGUUAUGCAAAAUCCAAGUUGGGUUGUUUGUGGGGCCAAGGAAGGGUGAUGAAAUCCCCACCUUAUCUUGUUACAGGUUUUUGCCCUUAAUGUUAGAUUAAAGAUGAAAAUACACAAAUAAAAUAAAACUGUAAACAAAUAAAAUGUCCUAAAACUUAUGUGAAUUACAAAAGAAGAAGAAAUUUGACGUAACUCGAUCCUCCAGCAAUCACCACAAUUUAUAUUCGACAAAAAAUAAAAAAAAUAAAAAAUAAAAAAACUUAAACAGGAUUUGCUCUACGUGAAUGAAUGCAUUUAGUGGCAAUUAAAAAAAACUAAACUAAUAUUUUUUAGUUUUUUUCUUAAAAAAAAUACGGAGAUACGAAAUACCAAAGAAAGCACAGCAACAAAAUCUUUAUCUUUUAGCUCCUUCGAUCCGCUUCGAUAAUCCUGAAAAAAGAGAAGAAAAAAAAUAUUAGAGUUGAAAACUAAUUCGAAUAAAUAAAAAUUAAGGAAUAAAAAAUUAAUUCUAGUCCUCGGCAACGACGCCAAAAACUUGAUGCAUUAAAAUUAUGUACUGCGAGUGCAUAGUAUCUAUUGUAGAUUUGGCAAGUGCAAGUCGAACCACAGAGACUAAAUUAAUUAUCAAAAUCCUUAAUAAAUAUUUUAAGCAAAUUAGAAAUAAAUAUAAAGGAGAUGAUUAACUAACUAAAUUAUGCAAACUAAUAAUUACUAAUGAAAACUAUUAAUGAGAAAAGUUACCUAGGAAUCUAAAUCCACCAAGUAUUAACAUAAUAAACAAUUCCUUAUUUCCCAAAUUAAUUCCUAAAUUAUUUUUACGUCCCUUUAAAAAUAAUAAUUCAUAUAAUUAAUAUGGGCAAGCAUAAGUUAUGAAAAAAUUCACAAAUUAACUAUAACUUAUCAAAACCUCGCAAUCAAUAUAAAUAUCAUAUGCAAUAUGUGCGAAGGAAAAUAUGAAGGCGAAAAUAAUUAGGCACUAAUACCGGAACGGUAAGAAAUUAAUUAUUAUGAAAUAUUUAGUUUCAUCAUCAUCCUAGGUAUUAGAAAUUUAGUUAGCCAUAGAAUUCAAAAUAGGAACAAAUAAAAUUAUUAUUACUACUAAUUGCAUGAGAUAAGAUGAAACUAAAAGAAAAGAAUUAACUAAGCAAGAAGAGAACUAAACUAACUUAUAUUGUUAAGGUAACACAGGUGCAUAUAAUAGAAGGGAAAAACUAAUACCUAUACUGUUAAUAUAAAGUGAAGUAAAGAACAAAACAAACCAAGGCUACGAAAAUUAAAGAGCAAUUCUUUAAUGGAAAAACUGAAUGGAAAGCAUGGAAAACAAAAUCAAUUUUACUGAUGCUUUAAUAUUGACUUCCGUCCAAAACUAAGAGAAUCUCUCGACCCCAGCGAGAAGAGUACAGAAGAAAAAUAAAAAUACAAAGUGGUACCCCCUCUCUCUAAAACAAGAGAUUCAUUUAUAGGGAAAAAUAAAUUGUAACCUAAUCUAAGAUACAUUGAACUUGGACUUUUCUUUUCCUUUCUCUUUAUCUGCAAAUUGACUCCAACUUCUUCAUAAUUAUCCUCCAAGAGUCUCAUAUAAUCUUUUAUUUGCUCCCCAAGAUAAACAAAAUAAAUCUUACAAAAUCAACUAAAAUGUAUUAGUUAAAGAAAAUAAACACACAAAAUAAUAAAUAUGGAAAUAUUAAAAUGUAUAAUAAAUGUGUAUAUCAGGUAGCCAAAGAAAUGACUCAGAUGAUAUAUUACAACCCAAAGACUACACAUCAAAGGAAAACAAUGUACAACACUAAGAGACUUAAAAGUUGCAGCAAGAUCCAAAAAAGAGAAGAUCUAAUUUAGGAAACCAACUAGUGGAGGGCCUAUUGCAGAUAAAGUGUUGGGAUGGGAUUUUUGUAAUCUUUUUAUUCUUUUUUGGGGUACAUAAAAUUACUCCUAAGCUUAUGAAUGCAUUUGGUGUAUGUAUGUUGCCUAGGGCUAAGAAGGUGUGGUUGAGAUUGUAAAUUGCAAUGUAUGAUGCUUUUUGUUAAUAGGCAUGUUAAGUCAACUGAUUUGAAUUGCCUCUGCUUUGUGACAUGUACUGGGAAUUAAUUACUUAAUUGAAUGGCAAUAGCAGUUCCUGAAAGUUUAUAAUAGCUUGGUUUUCUAUUGAAUUGUUUUUAUUUAGAGCAUUUUGAUUAUAGCAUUUUCUACCAUUGUGUGGUUAUUAUAACAGUUGAGCUUUGUGGUUAUUAUAGCAGUAUGGUUCGUUCAUUUCUGCAGUGCUUGCUAUUAUAGCAGUAUGGUUGGUGCAUUAAUGAAAGGUGUCUAUGAAAUGCACCAGAUAUCAUAAAUUGCACACCAACCAUUUUAUAGCAUAUAUCAUAAACAAGUUGUAAAAUUGCACCAAUUCACACAUAAAUUUCCAACAAAAGAUGCCCAGUAAUUACAUUCCAUAAUAAAUUUCCCGCAAAAGAUGCCCAGCAAUUACAUUCCAUAUGUGUCCUAAUUUCUACCACUAUAUUGCCACAAAUUACAAUCCCAGUAAUUGCCCACAAAAACUGCCAUUUUUAAUUAGAGUACUACCAGUACAUACAUAGCCUAGAAAUUUACUUGUGGGGAUUUUCAUCCUUUGUUGAGAUGAACAUGAAAUAAAAAAUCACAAUCCAGGUUGCAAUCAACAGACCCCAUAUGCAAUCCUUGCCUUAAUUUUGCACUCAUUCAGUUCAUCUUUCAGAACUUUGAUUUCAGCAUUCAAAUUCUCUAAUCUUCUAAUUAAUCCAAGUAUUACUACAUUUGAACACUCACACAUUGGAGGAUCAACCCAAGCGAAAAAAUUACAACCAUCGUGCCCAUCUUCACACCAAUCUGGACAACUAAGAAAUCUUCUAUCGGCAUUGUUUGAGCUUCUCAAAGCGGUCUUAAUCAUUGAAUUCUUCAUGCACCAGCAAUUUCGAUCCAUGAACCCUUUCCUGAAUUUACAAUCUAAUCGAGCUGCCCAUAAUUAUGAAUCAGUUAGAGCUUUAGUAGCUUGUUCCAACUCGGGAAAUAGAAGAUGUGGAAAAGAUUUAAACACCCCUCCAGAUCCACACGUGUGUCUUAGCCGGUCACUUUUGACCGGUUAACUGAAGAAAGUGUGUCUUUUGUUAAUUAUAACUGAAGUUUGGGGUGUACUUACACUUUUUUCAGUUUAAGGUGCAAACGUCAACAUUUGUGUAAAGUUUGGGGUACAAAAUGUCUUUUAGUCUAAACUCUCCUAAUUGAAAUCUACUAAUACAAUUAAAACUCUCCUAAUGAAAAGCUACUACUAUAAUAUCCUACUAAAUAAUUUCAUUAAUAACUCAAUAUUUAUCUCUAAAUAACAAUACAAAAUUAAUAAUAAAAAUUUUGAAUUUUUCCUUCCGUUUCGCAUCAGUAUAUAUUCUCAAAUAAUAUUUUUUUUCUUUAUUUUAUACAUGAUAUACAUAUACGUGUGUAAAUAUAUAACCUUGAGUUGAUUAUAUCCAACUGGCCUUGUGAUCCAAAAAAAUUUAAUUUUUCUCUUCUAGGUCGGUGUUAAUUUUCGAGCUUUGCUGAUUUUUUAUUGGAGGAUCCACCAUUUUGUUCACUACUCGUUCUUGAUUUAUUACUUUGGAGGAGAUUUAUGUUUUGCUACUGAGAUGUAGCCUGAUCAGCGUAAAAAGGUAAUUAAAUCUCCCCCAUUUCCACUAUGUCUCGGUGUUGUAUGUUUGUGUGUGUGAGAUAGGGAAUAGAUCUAUUUGCUUACUGGGUCUGUUAGGAAUGUUUUCAAUUUAUUACAAAUGGGGUUAUUUAAAAGAAGUAAUCUAGUUUUCUGUUUAUCUAAUUCCUUUUUGUACUGAAACAAUUGCGGUAUUUUGGGGGGAUUUAUGUUGAUUGAUGAGUUAUUGGUCUAUAUUUUUCACAGCUUCUAAGCUACAUGCUUAUGUUUCAGGGUUACUCUGUAACAUACAUUUAACAUUUUACUUGUGAAUUGAAUAUGAAUAGUUUAUUGUGCAGUAAUGGUGAUUUGUGAAUUAAAGCUGGUGUUUUGAUCAAUUUUGGGAUAAUUGCAUAUAGUUAGGUUCUAGUUAUACUUGGUAUUGCCAAUUGUAGCUAGUUUUUGGAUAGAUCUUUAUGUAAUCUCCUCAAGCAUGGCCUUUAUGCUGAGGCCUUACAAUCUCGGGAUCUGGGUAGUACAAUAUAUUUUAUUACCCCUUAGCCUAUUAUCACCUGAGGUGGUAAUGUCUAAAAUUACAUACAGUACUUCAAACUAAAGCAGAAUCCUAUCUUGAUUUGAACUACAGUGAAGAAAUAGUUCAUAUAGUGUGACACAGAUGGAAACAUGCACUUGCAGAUACACAAAGACCAACACUCAAGCACACAAACAAACAUACAAUGAUACACGUGCCGAUAAAAUCGCCUCUGGUCUGUCACGACUAGAGUUAGUGUUGGGACACUGUCUAAUUUUCUUGGUUCGAUCUUUUUGCAUUUUGUUUGCUGUAUAAAUUUAUUAAUUUGUCAAGACUGGUGUUGGUGUUGGGACAGCUCAAGCUUGUUUUUUUGCUUUUAACCUUUCAGAGCUUUCCAAUUAUUUUAGAUUAACAUUAUACUAAUAUUAUUUAUUUUUCUCUUGCAGCUGCAAUUAGUUAAGAUGCUAAUUAAUGAAGGAUGAUUGCAAAGAAGAACAACAGUUUUAUCAUCUUUUCAAUGAUUAAUUUGAUACUUUCUCUAAGAUGUUUAAAUUUUGAUUUUUAUGAUCAAUGGUGUAUAAUGAUGUGUUUAACAUUUUUCUCCCCUUUAUGAUUAGAAUGUUUAAUUAAUAUGUAUGGUUUGAACUUUAUAUUGUGAUCGGUGAUGAUUAAUUAUUCAAUUUUUUUUGUAAAUAAUUUGAAUGAAUUUUAUAUUAGGUGAUUGAUAAACGAAUUCGGAUAGCUGGAUAUUCGAAUAAUCUGUUUAUUCGAAUAAAGUAAACCAAAAUGGAUAUUAUUCCGAAUACCAGAUACGGAUAAUAUUUUUAAAAUUCGCUGGAUAUCGGAUACGAAUACGGAUAGCGAAUUAAUUUUCUAGAUACAGAUACAACUGUAUUCGGAUCCUUAUAUAUUCAUUUACACCCCUAUCCAGCAUGACUUAUUCCUAACUUUUACUAACCAUGCCAUGUGCUUGUUCAUAACUAUAUGAUAAUUUGAAAAGGAAUCUACUUUUUCUGUUUUUAAGCACUAGAUAUAAGUAAACUACAGAUAAACCCCAAGUUUAGAUCAACUGGUAAAGGCCAUAUAAAAAAAAUAAAAAAAAAACAUAGGGGCACUAAUUCGAGUUCCCAUGGGGCCAUGUCACAGGUGUUUAUUCACGGAUCGCUAAGUACCAGCACAGAAAGGCUCAUUUUUGACAGGAUUGUGAUGGGUGAGGACAGCAAUAAUAUCCAAAGGAAAAAGAAGAAGAACACAGUUCACUAUUAUUUCACUAACAACAACAAAAGUGAAAUUUAAGCAAAUAAUAAUAAAUUUAAAUACAUUAAUAAAAAGGAAGUGGGAUUGUAUGGGUAGGACAGUAACAUAUAUUGACAGAAACUAAUCAAGAUUUUCCAUGGUCUGAGAUAUUUUUACUGGGUAACAGCUCUGCUGGAUGAAGCAAUUAGCAUUGUUCUCUAACCAACGGACAAUAACUGCUUAACCUUGAUAGGCAAUUGACUAUGUUUGGACUUUUGGACAUGAGCAGUUAAAUUACAUGAAAUUUGUUACCGGUGCUUCUUGAUUGCUCUGAACCUUAAGACCUUCGACGAACACAUUUUUCUUUUCAUUAGAAACAAAUUUAACCUUGAGGAUAAAUUUAAUCUUGAGGCUAGGUCUUAGGGUGUUCACUACAAAGUUAUCUUCUCCUUUCGUUCUCUUCUGUCUUUUUAAUUUUGACUUGGUUGGCAGGGUCAGGGUCAUGGCCUUUCUCACUGGAUAAGCGCAUCCGAUUCUAAAGUCCUUUCCUAAACCACUUCCCGUUCAGUUGCUGAAAGAUAGAGAUAAGGCUUUCUAAAUGAAAUUUCACGAUAAGACCUUCCUGCCUUUACCACUUCAAUCGACUACUUUGAAUUGAAAGACCUUCCGCGUCAUCCUUGUGUUCCGGAGAUAUAAAGCGAGUGCACCGGAAAAGAAAAGGGAAUUGGGUCGAUCUAUUAUUCUAUUCUAUGUUAAACAAAAUAAAAAGGGAUUUGAUGAAUUAUGUUGUUCCUUAUAAGCAAAAUUAACCAAGGUUAUAGUAUUUUAUAAUAAAAAUAAGAAGUAGAUAUAUAAGAAGAUAAAAAAAAAGACUUCACCUAAAACAGAGAGGCCCAUUAAUCCCACUUCGAAUAAGGGAAAGAAUAUUCAAUAAAAAAAUAUAGGUAAAUAGAUACUUAUAAGAAAAAAAAUAGAGGAUAAAUAAUUAAGAACUCUCUUUAACUCUUAUACAUGUGGCAUAUAUCCCAAGGAAGGGUUAAUUUUAACUAAUCGCUUUUAUCUGUAUUGUUUCAUUUUGUUCACCCAUUUAGAGGUGACUAACAAAGUAAGGAUUUAAACAUUAGGCAACAUGCAUACGGCAUACCAAGAUGAUGAAGACUAUAAAAAUAAAAAAGCAAGAAUUGUUAGAUAAAAACUCCAACAAUAUGAGAAUGUGGUAGUUUUUAUGCUAUUGAUUCAACCAACUUGACAAUUGGUUUGGGUAAGGAAUUCUAAGGAUUUUUGACUUGGGAAAGUUUGGGAAAGAAAAUUAUAAAAGUGUAUUUUCCUUAACUUUUCUUUGUGAGUUUAGCAAGGAAAAAAUAGUAAGUUAGAAUAUGGUUGUCAGAAAUUUGUUAUCAAUAAGGAUAAUUACAUAAAAAAGGAAAGUUACAUCAAGUCUAUUUUAUUCUCCUUACAAAUUCUACCACUUUUCGUAGAAAACUUUCUAAGGAGAAUUGGCCAAAUUUUCCUCGGCUUGCCUUGCCCUUCCCAACUUAAAAAAUCUUACAAACAUGGGAUUGCUAAGGACAGUUGCAAAUUUCCAUUUCCUUAUAAACCCUUUCUUUCCUUAAGUUGUAAAACUCACAAACAACUUUGGAGGUCAGUCAGACGUAUAAUCAAGAAUAAUUUUGGGUUUUUUACAACCCAAUUUUAAGAAACAUGAAACUAUCCCAAAUUUUCAUUAUACAGCUUUGGAAAAUGCUAUCAUUUUCCACUUUUAGACCUUUAAAGCCAUCAAAGAACAGCCAAAUUGUUUUGAAAUGUUUGCAAUUAAGUAAUUGCAACAAGGAGAAUAUUCUGCAAUUUAACAAUGGGUCUCAUUACCCAUAAGAAUAAAAAUGGAAUUACCUGCACUGGACAGAGAAUUGGCAGUUCAAAAUGAAGUAGAACGACUGCCUGAGAAGAGUAACGAGGUCCUUCAACCAAACCAGCCACAUCUUUUCGGAGAGACUUCACCGCCGGAAAGAGAGAGGGCUCAGUAGUUUAACGAGUUUUACUUUCCCGGUGCGUUUCCCUCCUUCCCUUUAAACCCAAAAUCCAUUGGGUCUCUUCAAAUUACCGGCUUUAUAUAAAAAACGUUGCUACGGAUAAAAUUAUAUCUAUAUUAAAAACGAAUAGAAAAUUUAAGUUUUUAAUAAUUAAGUGCCCUAGAAAAUAUUAGUGAAGCUUGUCAAUUUUUAUUUUAUUAUAAAUUUAGAAAAUAAUUAAAUUUAUAAUAGAAAAUAUUAUUUUUAUAUUAAAAAUGUCGUUAUAAAUCUUACACCAAUAAAAAUAAUAAAAAAAAUAUAAAUAUUGUGAAUUUAACUAUUCCCUAAAUUUAAGUAUCACAUCUUUAGACAAAAGGUGGUAGCCUAUUCCCCUCCCUUUUUUAUUGCUCCCUUUUUUAUUGUGGAAUGUCUAGUUUACCUGUGUCCCUUCUUAACCCAUUCCUUGACUGACUCCCCACUAGGUCCAUUAAGAUUGUUUUUAAGAGAUUAGAAUUUAGAAGGGUAAGUUCCCCUCCCAACUCCUUUCCUCUAGACUCCCCACUAAGCCCCCGAGAUUGAAAUGUAUCUUUAGAUUUACUCAUAGUGUAGAUUCUCAAAAAAAUAUAAAUAAAUAAAAAGCAUGACAAUUUUGGGGCUAGGAUGUUCGGUUAUACUUUAAUUUCCUCAACAGGAAAUAUUUAUUUUCAAAGAACAUGAGAUAUCCUCCAAUGUUUUUAGUUGAAACAAUGUGUAUNNNNNNNNNNNNNNNNNNNNNNNNNNNNNNNNNNNNNNNNNNNNNNNNNNNNNNNNNNNNNNNNNNNNNNNNNNNNNNNNNNNNNNNNNNNNNNNNNNNNCAGUACGAGCAUAUUCCUUGGCUUAGUUUCUUUUUUCUUUCUUUGUUGUUUUUUUCUUCUGUUAGUCCACAGUCCACACCCAUAAGGCAAAGUAAAUAAUAAACAAAAUAAAAGUAAGCACAAAAGCAAGAGUAUAAAAAAAGAAGGAACUGUUGGCUUUAUUCCAGUGCUCAACACAAUUUCUACAAAGUGAUACUGGAUUUAUUCAAUAAUCAUCAAACCAUUGUACAGAAUCAACUAAGUGAUCCAGAAAGAAUAAGAUUACAACACACAGAUGAUGAUUAAUAAAUCCCAACCCUUUCAUUUUUGUAAUUUAUAAAAAUCAUCGUGAUUUUAACACCAGUGGCAAAUUUCUUAGUUUAUAUCACCGGUGGGACAAAUGCAAACACAAGAUAAUGAAAGAUAAGCUACUCUAAUGGAAACUACAAUCUGAGAAUACAAUUAUUUUCCUCUUUGAUACUGACAAGUAUCAGCAAUUCGACUGAAAUUAUAACUGGGGAUGCUCAAGGUUUCCACAGGAGUGUAGUCUCGGCAAUCAUGGCGGUGACAACAUAUGGAUCCAUAUUUGAAGCAGGCCUCCUGUCCUCGAAAUACCCUUUGCCCUCUUUCUCUGUGUCUCUACCCACUCGAAUGGAUGCUCCUCGGUUUGCCACUCCCUGUUGGAACAAGAAAAGUAGAAAGGGGAAAAAACACGAAGUAAGAAACUGAAAAAUGUCAAUUUUCAUUUAUUUUCCGAAUACAAUAAUUUAAAAUAAGGCGGUUCAUAAGAUGAAAAAUCAAAUCGUCCAUAGUAACUUGUAAAUAGCCUGUGACUUUGAAGUGACCAUAAGUUUCACUUGAUCAACAUUCAUCCACAAUCUGGAGCUACAAGAAAAUUUUUCAAGGGAAAAAAUUACCCAUAAGAAUGUGUUUAUAUCAGCUGUUUCAUGUCGUCCAGUGAGACGGCGUUCAUUGCCUUCACCAUAUGCAGCAAUGUGUUCUUUGUGCCUCAGACCAAGUUUUUCAAUAGCCUUCUUUAUAAUCUCAAAGCCGCCCUCGUUCCUCAUGGAUUUGGUGCUGAAAUCACAAUCAAAAUUUCAUGGAAAGAUAGUAAAGGGAUGGGGGUGUCACAAUGAAAAUCCGUAGUGUGCAAUUGAAACAAGGAAAUUUUUUACCACUCAUUACCUGUAAUUUGUGUGAGCACCAGCUCCAUUCCAAUCACCCUGUUGAAAAGAAAAAAAAAGAUAUUCUAAUGAGCUCUUCUAGGUGGACAUAAAAAUUGGACACGAGUGUAUUUGAAUUUCACCUAUUUGUAUAUUUAGGUGAAAUUCAAAUACACUCGUCUCCAAUUUUCAUUGUCCACCUAGAGUUUUUGUAUUCUAAUAUAAAAAAACUUUUUUUUCAGCAGAAUAUGGAGCCAGGAGCUAUAACUUUCAGUUACAAUAAUAAGAUACAUAUGCACACACAAAAUCCGAAACCAAGCCCAAAAGUAUUCAGCUCUGUAAAGAAACCAUGAAUUACAAAAGCUAGGUUUAAGAUAACGCAACAAAAAAAAUUAACAAAACUAACCGGGAUAGGCUUGGGAUCAAAUGAAACAACCACCCCAGCAAUCUCAGUGAUCCUCUGUUAACCAACAAAAGUUUAAAAAACAUUCAUGUUCUAUCAACUCUGUAAAAUAAUUUACUAGUUCCUUUAAAUAUAAAAAUGAAACUAAUUUUGAAAUUCUCAUUAUUUCAAUGUAAGCAUGUACAACAUAAGAGUACCUCCAGAAUGUAACGAGCCACCCACAACUCAUCUCCUGCUGAGAUACCAACAGCUGGUCCAACUUGAAAUUCCCACUAUAAACAGGAAGAAAGAUUUGAGUUUCAUUACUACUGAAGAGUAUCAACGGAAGCCGCCGCCUUGUUCUCUAUCUUAAUAAUUAUAGAGUACAGUUUUCAAAAUAGAAAAGCAAGAGCAAUAAGAGAUCAUCCAAAAGAUUGAUCAUACCUGCCCUGGCAUGACUUCUCCAUUGAUACCACUUAUGUUGACACCAGCAUAGAGACAAGCCUUGUAAUGAGCAUCAACAAUAUCUCUCCCAAAGGCUUUGUCGGCACCAAUACCACAGUAGUACGGUCCCUGAUGCAAUAGCAAGAAAGAUUAGAUGCAAUAUUUUCGUUAAAUAUUAUUUCUUAAACAAAGAACAUAUCUGUAAUUUAGUUAAGAUAUAGCAAAUAAAAAACGUUUAAGAGUUAGAAAUCACAUAAAAAAAUAUUUAAAAAUAAAAAAAGGUUUCGGACUUUAGAGGUGAGAAAUUUCACCUGAGGCCCUGGAAAUCCUCCUGUGGGCCAACCAAGAGGCCAAUGAACCUCUUUCUUCAACAAGGUGUACUCUUGCUCAAUACCAUACCUAUUAUAAAAGAUUGAGUUUUAAUGGACUGUUCAUGUCCCACAAGAAUACAAUUUCAAAAUCAGAAAUAAAGAUCAAAAAUACAUUUAAAAAAAUAAUUAUAUACCAGGGUACUUCAGCAGCAACAUCAGGAUGCUUGAAAAUUUUGGCUGCAGCAUACCUCUUGUUUGUAGGAAUCGGCUCACCAGCUGGUGUGUAAGUAUCACACAUGACCUAAUACAAUUAAGCAAGAGACGGAAAGAUUGUUGGGAUCAACAUAUGGUUAGGAAAUAUAAUGAUGGAAAUACACAAAAACUCAAAAAAUGAAAUAGGAAUUAAAAGUGAAUAAACUGUAUAACAAGUUAAGAACAAAUAACUUACCAAUAUAUGGUUGCCCCUUCUGAAUGGAUCUUUAAAAAUAGCUUGAGGACUAUUUCAUAACAUCAUAUCACCAUAAGAAAAUAAAUAGCCGAUACUAUAUAUAAAGAAAAUAGAAAAACAAGAGCAAAAGAUGAAAAUAAACGGAUCAAGAACUUACUAUAAGAUCACUUCACUAUCUUCCCCUGGGGCUUGACCUGUGCUGGAACCAUCAUAAUUCCAUUUGGGCAGCUUGCUGGGAUCGUCAACAGGACCAGAAAGGGUCUAUACAGCCAAAAAAAACCACUUAAGUGAGCGGAGAAGAUGAAUGAAUAAUAAAAUCAGAAAACAGCACCGCUAAUUUAAGAAGAAAAUAAUUACCCUUGCUUUGCUUCUGAGGUCCAUGCCAGAACCACCAAUCCUGUUCACAAUCAAUAUUGCAAGAAAAUUGAAUAAAAUUUGACAAAACAAUGAGGGAAAAAAAGUGAAACUGAUAUAUUUCUGCUGACAUCAUCAUUAUUACUACUUACAGCUCCAUAUAACGAACAAGAACAGAGGAUUCAGGAUUAUAGAGUAAUUCAUUACAUAAGCCAUAAAAAAAAAGUUACUUGGAUCAUAUCAACAAUCAGCAUGGAAACAAGAAAGGAAAUGAAUUCGACCUAUCUCAAAAGGCAUGAGAAAACAUAGUUCGAAAAAGGGUGGGGAAUUCUCAAAAGAGAAACAUAAAUUAGAUCCGGUUAGCUAGAUUGAUAAAUCAUCAGGAACACACAAAAAAGGCAUACCCUUUUGGAUGUGUAUUAUUGAAUUCAUACUAACAUUUAUACUCCAACAUAACCAAAAAGGUUGAAACUUGCAAACGUUGCAACCAGAAGAAAGGAAAUAAAUUUUUAAAAAAAAAUCUUGCACAUAAUUAGUUUCAUCACCAAAUUUAAUUAUUUUUUUCCCUGAUUUAAUAUCUAUUCACUAAAAAUAUUACAACCGAAACUGAAUGAAUGAAAUAUGUGAGACAAUAUGGUGUUCCAUAAAUGUGAUAAGUAACACAAUAUCUUCAAAAUGAAAAUUGUGAGAUCUCAUGAACCCUCAUGGCUAAUCAAAAGGAAGAGAAAACUAAAAACAAACCACACCCAUUUUAUAUCAGAACAGUAGAUCACUUUUCAAUAUUCGCAAGAACAGCAAAUCAAAUCAACAAACCCCAGGAAAACUAUAAGCAAAAGCAGAACAAACCCAUUAACCAAAAAAACAUACAAUAUGCGAGACACUGCAAUCCAUUAGAACAUAUCACCUCACAAAAAAAAAGGAAGAACAGAGUAAACAGAAAAGGUCAUUUAAUCAAAGAACAGAGCAGACCCAUUAAUUAAAAACAGAGAAUAAAAAGAAACAGAUCAUCAAAUUGGAAAACAAUAAAAAGGAAAAUAGUUUAAUCAGAGGUGAACUAACCAUAUAUACUCAGCAAUAAUCUUCUCCGUUUUGUCAGAGAGAUCAAGAUUGACGAGAUCUGAGAGCAAAGCCAUCUUAAAGAACCUGCAGACGAAUUCUUUCUCACUCAAAACAACAGAGAAAUUUUCUCGGUCCGAGCUAUGAUUGUGUAUGCAGAGACGUUACAAUAGAGGGGGGCGAGUUGGUUUUAUAGAGGUUUUCUAUGUAUUGAAUAUUGAUAAUAUUAUACAAUUCCAAAACUAUUGGUGGUUUUUUAGCUAGAUAUAUUAAAAUAUUAGUAGGUUCUAAAAUUAGACAUAUAUAUGAUAUUAAUGCCGAUUCUUAGUAAUAUUUUUUUAGGUAACAUAUAAUGAGAAGGAUUCAUAUCAAAUAUUUGUUAUCAUACUAUUCAAGUAAACAUAUGUUUGGUUGUCUAUUAGAAAUCUGAGGAAUCUAGAUUUAAAAUUUUAUUAUUUUCGCUACUAAUAAUGCUAGAUAUAACUUUUUUUAAUAGUCAAUACUGCCCAUUUUUCUUAUGCACGUCUGAUCAAAUAAUGCCAUAGUCAAAGCUUAAGAGUUAAAUUAUAUCUUUAAUUUUAAAAUAGUGAUGAUAAUAAAAUUAGAAAUUUUUUAUAAUUCUCUUUCAGUUAAUCUCACUUUCAUAUAAAAAAAAUUAUAUAAAAAUAUAUGUAAAAAUAAUGCUCUCUUAAAAUUAUAAUUUAGAUAAAAAAUAAAAAAAGAAUGAUGACAUAAAUAAAAAGGGAAAAUGGAGUUGUUGCCUGUUUGAAGGGCUGGUAACUUAUAUUGACAGAAUCCAAUCAAGAUUUUCCAUGUUCUGACAUAGUUUAGCAGGUAACGACAUAGACGUAGUAGCAUCACCAAAUAUCAUAUGGUAUAUAUCUUUUUUUCUAAUACAAAAACAACAUAAUAUCUAAUUAUUUAUUACUCAAUACAAACAAUUGAUAUUUUUAUAAAUAAAAAUAUUAGUUUUAUAAGAUUUUUCUCACAUUAAUUAAAAGGGAGUUUAUUCACAUAUGAGAUAAGAUAUUAUAAAAUUAAUAUUUUUACUUGUGAAAAUAUUAAUUUUCUUUUAUAUACUAAAAGAAAUAUAAAUUAAUUAAUAAAAAGUAAAAAUAUAAUAGACCAAAAGUAAAUUAUACUGAAUAUAUAUAGUGAAUUCAAGAUAGCAUGUUGUUAAUCUUUAUUAAAUUUGUAAAUUUAUUGUGUGUAAUUUGAUAAAUUUAUACUGAAUGAGAUUGGCUGUUCUAAUUAGGUUCACAAAUCAUGAAAAUUAAUGCAAAAUAUUAAGAUCAAAACAAAAUCAAAGAUAGCUGGUGACUAAAAAAUUACUAAUGUAAAGCACUUUUUUAAUAUUCUUACUAAUAUAUAGUAAAAAGAAAAGAUUGGUAAGUGAUCAUUUAUCUUUUUCAUAAAGUAACAAUUAAAAUUAUUAUUUUUUUGUCUCUAUUUGAUGGAUCCGGUUAGCAUGAAGUUUAUUUUUUGGUAAGUUAGUCAAUUGGCCACUAAAAUCCUGACACACACAUAGAACCUCGCCUGCGUGUCAGUACUCUAUUGGUCAAUUGACCAAUUUACCCAAAAAUAAACUUCAUGCUAACCAAUCUAAUCAUAGAAAUAUAAAUAGCAUCCAAAAUGUAAAAUUAUGUUGCAUAUAAUUUAGUAAAAUGUUUAAACAAAUUUAUAGUAAUAAUAAUAAACAAGUUGAGUUAUUGAAAAACAUUACUAUUUUACACUGAAAAAUACAAAAAAAAAAAAAGAAAAAAAUUGUCUCCAAAAUAUUAACAUAAAAUAAAUAUGUCAGUUAGUGGAAUUUAUUAAUAUAAAAAAAUAAAAAUACUUAUCAUUUAUGUAAUUUUGUAGAAUUACUAAAGAUAAAUUUUUUAAAAAAUUUACUCUUAUAAUUUUUUUUAAUAUAUAUGUAAAUUAUACUUUGUCGAGGGAGUGGAAGUAAAUUAAAAUAGUAGUAGUAUUAAAAUUGAGAAUUUGGAAAUUAGUUAGAUAAGCCUUAUCGUUUCAUCUAAUUUUCGGGGAAGACUACAAAUAAGUAGAGCUCUCGGUGAAUAUCUUUACCAAGAUUUUUGAACCGGUAUUGAUCAUCGAAUUAGAAAAAUAUCAAUUCAAUAGGUUAUUGAUCUAAUCAGUAGUCGAACCGAACCGUUAUUAAUACAAUGACGUUAUUGAUAUAUAAAAAUAUAUUUUAUUAAUAAUUAAUAAAAUUUCAAAAAAUCUCUUUUUUUUAAAAUUAAAAUAAAAUAAAGUUGAGUUACAAUAUUAUUAAAAGUGAUUAAUUUUAAUAUUAAAAAAUAUUUAGUACAAAAAAAUGAAAAAUCGAAUCAUUGGGUUAAUUAACCGAUUUUACAGGUUGAACUAUCGGUUGAACCGAUAGGACAAUCUAAAUCAAUAAAAUCAAGUUAAAUCGGACCAGAGCAUCGAGUGUUUUAAUUUUUUACCGAUUGAACUUACUGUCCGAUCCAGAUUUGUGUUUAAUAACAAUGAUCACAAAUCCGGUCCGACCGGAUUUGUGUUUUCUCUCAUUUUACUAUGUUUGAUCACAAAAUUCAAGUCAACACAAUGACUAUCGUAAGUUUCCAUUAAAUUUUUUACUUAAUUUAUCUCUUGGGCCCUCCCCAGCUGGCAGCUCCCCCUCCCUCUCUACAAGUUGUUCGAAAAAUAAAUACUAAAUUUUUUUAUUCAAUACAUAAUACAUAUAAAAAUAUUAACACAUAGAACUUGAAUCAUGCGACUCACAAAUUUCUUAAUAUUUAUUUUCAGAUUCUAUUCUUAUGUAAAUAACGAAUUUCUUACCAUUUUAUAUUAAAAAAAAUAUUUUCACAAAUUUAGCAAAACAAUAGUCGAUGAAUCCAUUACUCAUGUAAAAAAAAUCUCAUGAAAAUUAUUUUAUUAUAAAAAUAUAAAUUCAUGUGGUUAAAAAAAUAAACGCAAAGGACAGAAUGAUGAGACUAAGGUUCUACACCUACCAAGUAAAUAAAUCUGACUUUUGAGUUAUUCAGAUUUAAUUUAUAAAAUUUAUCGAGUAUAAAAUAAAUUUUGAUCGAGACUUGUUUAACUAUUGAAUUAUGCACGGUCUCGAAUCGAGUCUGGACAGUUUAAAUUUUUUAAACAAAUAUAAUUUGAGUAUUAAUAAAAAUUUACAAUUUGAAAAGGUCCGACUAAUUUAUUCAAUUUUAAAAUUUAUUUAUAUUUAAAUUAUUUAUAUUUUGAAUUGAGUUUAAAUCUAACUUUUAAUCAAUCUAGUAUAAAUAAAACCCGAACUAUUUAAUUAAAAAGUAUGCAUCUUCAACGGUAGCUACGUCACAAAAUUGAUGCAAUAUGAUGUGUGCAGUGGGUCCAUCACAGAACGAACGGUCGAGAUUUUAUGGCGCUGAAAAUGUUUACUUUUGCUUCGGCAAUGUCACCUCACCUAACACCAUUCAAUUCAAUGAAUUCUUUAAAAAUACAAAAAAAAGUAAUGGAUUUUACUUAAACAAAAAAAUACUAUANNNNNNNNNNNNNNNNNNNNNNNNNNNNNNNNNNNNNNNNNNNNNNNNNNNNNNNNNNNNNNNNNNNNNNNNNNNNNNNNNNNNNNNNNNNNNNNNNNNNAAUGUCACAACAUCAAAAUCACUAUAAUUAGUGUUUGCUUAAUAUAAUACUCACAAUAUAGAUGAGGCACUUUUGUUAAUGUUAGGUACCCAUUAGGGGUCCAUCUAAUGAUUAUAGCAAUUUUUUGGAGCUUUUAAUUUUCUAAUUAUCAGCUUAGAAUUAAAUAAGGUCAGAAAAGUAUGUUUCAUUAUGUUCCCCUAAUAAAAGUGCUCGUUGGGAUGCUAAUUUAUUUUUAGUUUAAGUCAAUAUUUAUAAUUUUAAUGGAAUAGUAAAGAUGUGGAGUUAGUGGAAUAAAAAUUACAAAUCCGAUUAUCAUAAAGUUAAUUUUAUGGUAAAUUGGUCAAUUGACCAAUACAAUAUUGACACGCAGAGAGAGAUCACCUUCCGACCUGGAGAGCAAAUUAUUUGUCCCUAUUUUUCAUGUCUCCCUUGUAUUCCCCCUCUUAAAUUUUGACACAUAACCUUUUACUUAACACCAAUUAAUUCUAAAAUUAAAUAAAAGGUCAGAUGUCAAAAUUUAAGUGAAGACACACAAGGAGACAGAAAAAAUGGGGACAUAAGAUCUUCUCUCUCGGACCUGUGUGUUAAUAUUAUAUUAGUCAAUUGACCAAAAUUAAUUUCGUACUAACCACUUUUAAAAGUCGCAUCUUAAGACUUGGAAAUUUAAAAAUAGAAAAAAAAUGUGUGGCAAGUUUUGGUCAGUUUAUAUUUAUAUAGUUCGGUUACGCAACAACCCCCAACAUAUAUCAAAGUCAAACCAUGUAUUAUAUUCCUUUCUCAUAAAAAUAGAUCAUCUUAAUUUUUUAAAAUUAAUUUGAAAAAUUUUAAAUAUUUAAAUUGAUGUGAUUUAAAUAAAUUUUGAAAUAAUAUUUUAUAUUUAAUAAGUUACCAAAUAAAAAUUUUCGAUUAGAGAGAGAUUGAACUUCUUCUGAAGGGAUAUAUUUUAAACAAUUUGAAAAAAUUCAAAUCAAAUUAAAUAUCAAAUAUAUUUAUAUUUUGUCUUAACAUUUUAAAAUUCAUAAAAUCAAUUAUAAAUGUUAAAACAAAGUUCUUUUGGUAAACGGAGAUAGUAGUACAAGUUUUCCAUACUUUUGCUUUAUGGCAUGUUGAUUCCACUAAUUCAUAUUGGCCACUAAAAUUUUGAUUCUGUCUAGAUUGGAGAUGCAGAAACUCACGACUCUCACUCAAGAAUGAAUAAAUAUUUCAAAGAAAAUGAUAUAUAUAUAUAUAUAUAAUUAUUUAUUGAAUUUUUUGUUAUUAAUUAUGUAAAUAAGUAUUAAUGAAUUUUUUUUAUAAAUAUAUAUAAUAUGACAUGUCAUCUUUACAAUUAUACCAAAUAUUAUGUAUUAAUGUAAUUUGAAAUUAUAAUUUGAUAAAAAAAAUCACAAUAUGCAUGACUCACUUUAAUGUUAAAUAAAAGUCUCAAUUUUUGAGGAAGCACCACAUUAACAAAUUGUAUCCGGUUACAAUGAAGUUAACUUUAUGGUAAAUUAAUCAAUUGAUCAGUACAGUGCUGACACGCAGAGAGAGAUCACCUCCCGGCCUGCGUGUCGACAUUGUAUUGAUUAAUUGACCAAAGUUAAUUUUAUGUUAACCACUCCAACGAACUAUCUAGGUUAGGUAUUUUGUUCGAUAGGAGUCUCUUUCACAAAAUUAUUAUAAUUUCAUAAUAUAUUUUUUUGCUUUUUAAAUUUAUUAUGUGAUAAGUUUAUUGAUAAUAAUAACAAAAAAUACAAAGAAAUAUCGUAGGACAUGUGUCAUUUAAUAUUACUAUCACUAAAUAUAAAAUUCUAUUUUUAAUUUUUGUGAGGAGUUAAUACUCUUUAUGUAAAUUUGGCUCCCAAUAUUCCACUUUUCGUUCAAUAAUUGAUGUAUUGUGAAAUUAGAGAGUCAUUAACAUGAAGUUAAUUUUAGUCAAUUGAUCAAUACAGUCUCGACAUGCAGACAAUAAUAAAAAUUUACAUGAAGUUAUGUGUCAAGUGAUUAACAUGAAGUUAUGAGUAAAAAUGUUAAAAGUUACAUAUUAAUGGAAAUUAUAAUAGUUUUUAAAAUACAUAACAACAAAACGGAAGUAGUUAGUAUAAAGUUUAUUUUUGAAUAAGUUGGUCAAUUGAUCAAUAGAAUACUGACACGCAGACGAAAUUAUAUAUGUGUCAAUAUUCUAUUGGACAAUUGAUAAACUUAUUAAAAAAAUAAUUUCAUACAAAUCAGAUCCCAACAAAAUCAUAUGAUAUAAUAUCUUUUCGACACCGAGUAUAUAUUAUUAUUAUCCGGCCGCUAGUAACAUUCUACAAGAUGCUUAAGAAAGCACGAUUGGCUGAAAAUUGAUGCCUUGGAAUUUAAAUUAUGGCAGGCCUACAAGCCACUCAAAUAAUGAUUUUUUUUUUAAUUGAAAAAUUAUUAUGUUAAUGUUUGGACCAGAUUAUUGCUGUCACAUGCAGGGCAUAUGACCACGAGAAAUAGGACUUGACAGUUCUUUCAUUUAUGAUAAUGUGUACGGAAGCUUGUUGAUGAGCAGUUCAUGUGUCUUUUUAGGCUUUAGCUAUAAAAAUUGUUCAGAACCAGAAAGCUUAUGGGGCACCAUGACUAUCAGACAGCAGAUCCUCUUAUUCUAAAUUUUCUGUUUUGUUUGUGUCUUUUCAUUUAAAUUUUGACCCAUAAUCUUUUAUUUAAUUUUAAAAUUAAUAAUUAGUAUUAAAUAAGAGAUUAUAGGUCAAAAUUUAAAUAGAAAGACAUAAAAGAACAUAAAAUUUGAAGACAGAUGAUCUGCUCUCACACACUAUCAAGAAAGGUUAAGUUUGAAAAUGAUGGCAUUUUUUUUAAUUAGAUCUGAUAUUCCCACAAUGUUAAUAUUAAUCAAUCUUACUAAUUAUAUUCAAAUUCAAUGUUCGAACUAAUCCUAGCUAGCUUAACAUUUUGUGCUAUUUUGAUUAGAAUUGGUUACAAUUUUUUUAGCUUAUGUUUGUUUGUAAAAAUAUAUAUUUGGGAUUGUACUGUUUGUCUUAAUUUAACUCUACUUCGGACUAUCUAAUUCCUUUACUAGUGACUAUUAGUCUCUUAAUGUAGGAUUAUUAGUCUUAUAAAGUCAUUUGAAAGCUUAAAAUUAGAGGACUAUUAAUCCCACAUUACAUUAAUCAUGAAAUUAUAUAAUCCCUCAUAAAUAGUAUUGGAAAUGACAAAAAAUAUAGAGCUCUUCUAGGUGGACAAAAAAAUUGGACAUAAGUGUAUUUGAACUUCACCUAUUUAUAUUUUUACCCACCAUUAGGGGUCAAAAUAUAAUUAAUUAAAAUUCAAAUACACUCAUGUCUAAUUUUUAUGUCCACAUAGAAUUUUAAAAAUAUAUAUAUAGUUCUUAUGAUUAUUUAAUAUUUAUAGGACCUUCAUCAUAAAAUAAAAUAGUCCAAAGUAGUAUUUAUUAGCGAAUCAUAUCACUUGCCAUGUGUGUGAUUACAACUCUUAUCAUGGUAGGUCUACUAGUCUGUUAGAAUUAGAUAGAUAUUAAUUAGCAAGUUGAAAUUAGGUAUAUAGAUAUUAUCUCAUUCAUUGUGUUUGGGUUUAUCUUAAUUACUUAAUUAAUGUACAUAUAUAUAUAUAUAUAUAUAUAUAUAUAUAUUGUGUAAUAUCCAUAUAUUGGGAUAAUGAUAAAUAAUAAAAUUAUAUAUUUUUAUAAUGUUAAAUUAAUAUAAAUAGUCCGAUCACAAGCAUGUUUUUUACAAACAAACAUGACUUUAGUUUAUUUGAAUACUAUGUCAUUUUGUUGGUCAAUACAAAACAAACCAUCUACUAUAAAAAAAAUUGAAUAACAAACCUUUAUGUGACAGUUGGACAUGGACAUUGACUAUCUUAUGUGACAAUGAAACAUGUAAAAUUGUUUAAUUAAUCAUAUUGAAUUUUAAAUUCUUUAAUAUAUUUUUUUGAGUUCCAUGAAAUAUAUAUUAUUAUUAGAUGGUAUGUAAAAUUCUAGUUUUUCGGGUCAACCCUAUAUAAUUUAUGCUCUUUUUUUGGUGGUUGUUAUAUGAAGACUUGGCAUGCACAAGUCCAGUGAUUUGAGCUGAUUGCCAACUCCAUUAGUGAAUGGCAACAGUAUUUAAGUUUGAGUCCUCAAAAUUUUGUUAAUGCAUGUCUUUUUUAUCAUUACUAAGUACCAUGGUCAAAAUAAAAAUAACUCUUAGCCAAAAGGCUAUUGCUCCAAGAUUAUCACGUACGAAAGGCUAAGUUUGAAAUUAUAUGAUGAAUUUGUUUAAUCAGAUUAAUACUAGUUUUUAUGCUUGAUUAGGUCUGAUAUUCACAAUGUUAAUAUUAAUUAAUCAAACUAACUAUAUUUAAAUUCAAAUAUGCGGCGACUAAUUAAUCCUGGUUUCACAUUUUGUGUUAUUUAUAUAUAUCAAAAUUGGUUUCAAUUUUUUACGUAAACCCUAACAAGAAAUUGAAGGAAACGACGACGACGACGACGACGACGACGACGACGACGACGACGACGACGACGACGACGACGACGACGACGACGACGACGACGACGACGACGACGACGACGACGACGACGACGACGACGACGACGACGACGACGACGACGACGACGACGACGACGACGACGAUGGUGAUGACAACGAUGAUGAUGAUGAUGAUGAUGAUGAGGCAGCGAAAUUGACAAAGUAGACUCCAAGUCAAAUGACAAACACUUGUUCUUCUUUUUUUCCAGGCCAUAAUGACAAGGACUUGGCUCUAGCCAAUUGAUGCUUAAUUCCAUAACCCAUAGGGUCCAUAAAUAAUUUCGUGUUAUCUUCGUUAUUUUUGUAAGGUCACACUUCUUUCUAAUUUUUUUAAAACUAUAUAUAGUAGUAGGAACAAUUAAUAGAUCCCCCUCUUGUUGCCUUGGUUUAAACAGUCUUUCUAUCUAUCGCUUUGAAGCCUUCAACAUUAGUUUUUCUUUUGUUUCUUGUUAUAUGAAGACUUGGCAUUGCGAGACAGUUGCACAAGUCCAGUGAUUUGAGCUGUGAUUGACAAUAAUAUUUAAGUCUGAGUCCUUAAAAUUUAGUUAAGUCUUUUUUAUCAUUACUGAAACACUCAUAUAUGUUAGUCAAAGUUAUUCUUAUUUUAAGUACGUGUCAUGAUCAUAAUAUUGCUCGUAAAUACAGUGUCGUCAGUUUAUUCAAUUUAACUUAUAUUAAUAUGUAUUGAGAGAGAUAGAGAACAAUGUACGUACAUGCAUCAUGCAUGUGCAUUUCCCACUUAUAAGAUUUGAAGCAUAGAUUUCUAACGAGUAUAUAUAUAUAUAUAUAUAUAUAUAUAUAUAUAUUCCCCCUAGCUACCAAUACCAUUUCAUUUUUUGUUCACUGGUCACACACUAAUGCAUGCAUACUUUUGGAGGUAGUAUUUGUUCUUGGACAUUAAACAAAGACGAAAAAGCUCAUGCUUGGCAUUUCCCAAACUGGGAAGGCCACUUGUUGUUGUUGAUAAGAAUAAGAUAUGCUCAAAGUGACAGACCUGGGCGUCCUAUUUAUCCAUUCACUGGCCUAGGCCUAGGCCUAUGCCUAUGCCUAUGCCUAUGGUACAAGUAUCUGGUGCCAAAUUGGCAGGCUUUUAAUAUUUUUUCUAUUUACAUUGGUGCGUGGGUGAUAGUUACAAGAGAACAUUCAUCGGGCGGUCGGUCAUGUUUUUUUGAGGAACAUAUUCUACUAAUUAAUUAAUAUUCUUUUUUUUUUGUGCUAAAUAUAAAAUUUUUGCAUACAUUUUUGGAAAUUAAUUCAAGUAUUUAAGUGAUUACAAACUUCAAAUCUUAUUUUAGCACGCUAGCAUCUUUUAAAACUGUCAUAUUUAUUGUUGGAGGAACGAAUUUCAGAGUAUCGCAGCAGCAAGAUCACUCUGACUCUUAUAAUACCUCAUCGCGUAUUUAAGUCGUCUGCAAAGGAUUUACUAAUUAAUUCUAUGGUUUCUUAGUUAGUCAUACUAGAUAUAUUACAUUAGGAAGUUUCUAUAUAUGUGAAAUAAACCAUGCAUAUGAUAUGGAUGGUGUAAGAAUAUGUAAUGUGAAUGUGAUAAUAAGAACCGAUCGAGGGGAAAAAGGAAGCUAAUGGGAAUCUUUCUUGUCCUAAGUAAUGGAAGAUGGACAAAAAUAACAAAUGCAAGUGUUACAUCCAUCUUCCACUUGUUUAUCACUAGCCUUAAUUUGUAGCUUAGUCAUAUACAUACAUUUCCUAUAUAACUAUUGCCUAAUUUAUUACUAGAAUGCAUGGUUGGAUUCGAUUCACUCGUAUAUAUUCUUCUUUUCACCAAAUCAUAAACAAGUUGUACAUUUUUAAUAAACCNNNNNNNNNNNNNNNNNNNNNNNNNNNNNNNNNNNNNNNNNNNNNNNNNNNNNNNNNNNNNNNNNNNNNNNNNNNNNNNNNNNNNNNNNNNNNNNNNNNNUAUAUUUGCCUGUGCUUGGCAACACUUUGUUUACACAACUUUUUAUAUCUUUUAGUAAGUUCGGUACUAAAUAAAAUAAAUUGUACAAAAAAUGGUAAGUGCACUUAUUAAAAAGUAAAAAUAGUAAAUAUUUUUUUUUAAAAAAAAAACUCAUGAAAAUUACUUGCAAAGAGCGUUACUAGACUGCACCUAUGUCACUAAAAAUUGUGGAAGCAUCUAACUAAAUUUUUUUAUGAGUCGUGCUGUGUAUUACAAUAUAUUUUUCGAAUUACAAUUACGAAACUUAUUAAUACAUGAGAUUGAUAGAAUUAUAAAAGGAUCUCACUUAUUAUACAUUUUUCUAAAAAAGAUAUCACAAAUACUUAUCCACGUAACCGGCAACCAAAAAUGGACGUAUAUAUCAUUUUCCCUUAUUUAUGCACUAGGGGAGAUUAUUUGAAGUAUUUCGUGAAUUCUAAGGAGUUCUACUUCUACAUCUUUAGCAUGAAGAGCCCAUUACUUGCCGGUGAACGAUGAACAAGGUUGCAUUAGAAUGGGCUUAAGCAUUUAAAACAAAACAAAUAAAACUAAGUAUACUUGGGCUUAAAAAACCCACCAUUUCCCACACGACCCAGGCCCAUAAAAUACAAGUAUUUUGACAUUUUCUCGCUGGAAUUAAACUGUCCCUCUCUUCCCUUUCUUUUAUCGAGUAUUGUAAUGGUAAUAAAAUAAUAUAACAAAAUUUAAUUUGUUAAUAAUAUAUCGUAAAAAAUUAAUAUUUAUCGUAACAUAUUAAUAUUUAAUUAGUUAAUAAUUUAUCGUAACAAAUUAAUAGUUAGUCUGAUUGAUUAAAAUGAAUAUAAAUUUUUAGUAUUAUCUUUUAAAAUUUAUUUAAAAAGAUAAAAGAUAAAUAAAUUAAUAUUAAUAUAAAAAUAAUAUAAUAAAUUAAUUUAUUAAUAUUUCUUUAAAAUUUACAAAUGAUAAAUAAUAAAAUAAAUUUCACUAUUUAAAAAACAAAUAAAAAGGGACGGAGGGAGCACAGAUGAUAUUCCUCAUCAAAUCUACUUGCAAGCAACAAACACUAAAUCCGAAACGGACGGUAACCGGCCAGACGAGACUCACUGCCCAAUGAGAUGUGUACAAGUGGAAGGAUGGGAUUAAUUGCCCACUUGUUCAUAUUGUAUUUUUUUCCCUUCUAGAAAUGAGGAAUAGACCGACCUGACGUUUGAUUAAAAAUUCAGACUCAAAAUAUAAAUAAUUUAAAUAUAAAUAAAUUUAAAAAUUAAACAAAUUAUUUAAACUUUUUUAAGUUAUAAUUUUUUAUUGAUACUCGAAUCAUAUUCAUUCGAAAAGUUCAAACUAUUCUGAUUCAAUUCAAAAUCGUGCUUGACUCAAUAACUAAACGAGCCUUAAUAAAAUUUUAUUUUAUAGUCAAUAAAUUUUAUAAAUUAAAUUUAAACCCGUCAAUAUUUAGCUCGACUUCAUUUAGAUUCUUAACCACAACAUCCCAAAAAAANNNNNNNNNNNNNNNNNNNNNNNNNNNNNNNNNNNNNNNNNNNNNNNNNNNNNNNNNNNNNNNNNNNNNNNNNNNNNNNNNNNNNNNNNNNNNNNNNNNNUUCGAGAAAUGUCGACUUAUGAAAUAACAGAAAGGUGGGGACAUGAAUAAUUUCUGAAAUUGUAGGCGCCUCUAUUUUUUAAUUUUAGUCAUUUUCAUACUUCAUCGAGUCACAUCAAUUGAAAAGAUGUACUACUACUUAAUAAACAUAAGAAAAAAGUCUUGUCAGACAUGAAUUUGAGAUCGGAAAAUUGGAUAUUUUUUAUUUUUUUAUUUAUUUGUAAUUAUCAAAAAAUAUAUAGUAUUUAUUUUAACUGAAAUUUUUAUAAAUUAUAGUAUUUUAAGUGUAAUUUGGAUACAUAUAUAAAAACAGGGUUGUACAGUCUAUUUUUGUAUAUAUAUUCAAAUUACACUUAAAACACUAUAGUUUAUAAAAAAUUCAGUUAAAAUAAAUACUAUACAUUUUUUGUGAAUCACAAAUAAAAAAAAAUAAAAAAAUUGAAAAUAUCCAAUUUUUUGGUCCCAAAUUCCUGUCCGUGUAGAACUGCUCUAAACAUAAUAAUCAAAGAAACUGAUAUUAUUUUGAUUUACUUUUUUGCAAGACAAAUUUACUUUCUGAAAGUUUGUCAUGAAUCACAAAUAAAAAAAACUUAGGAAUAUAAUGAUUUUAGUAGUUAGCUCAUGUAAUUUUUUGGAAUAUUUUUGUAUUAAAUUUUACAAUUUUUUUUUUGUGUACGAAAAAUGAAAAGUCAGUAAGAAAUUCAAAACUCUAGACAUAAUACAUUGUGUGUACAACGUCAGGGUUAAAAUUCAGGAAUGUUUCGCAAUUAUCGUGUAAAAUUCAGGGAUCUUUCAAAUUUUUUUACUUUGUGGUGACCUAAUAAUAAUGAUCGACAACCCAAUAUAGAUUAGGAAAUAAAUGAUAAUUGGAUGCAGUCACCUAAUUAAGACUUCCAACACGAUAUUAAGAAAAUUAUGAUUUUUCUGUCGGCUAAUAUGUUAUUUCUAAUUUUGGGUAAUUUUUCUAUAUCUCCAGUUAGGAAAUAGUGGGGAUGAGAGUGGGAAGUUAAUUUUAUUUAUCUUUGCCAUGUUUUUGGUUUUUAAUGUUUAUUUUUUGUUCAGAUGUAUACCAUAUAGAGUGGAGGAUGGAAAAAACUUAGAAGUUCUAGUCAUUAGCUCACAGAGAAAAGGCAAAGGGAUGUUGUUUCCGAAGGUACUUACGGCGAUUUAGUUGUGCCAAUUUACUGCAAAAGUUGCUAAUAUUUCAUUCACAUUAUUAUCCUACUGUUUUACCAGGGUGGUUGGGAAAAGGAUGAAUCCAUUGCGGCUGCGGCUGCGAGGGAGACAGUUGAAGAAGCUGGAGUAAAAGGCAUUCUUGAGGUUAGUUAUUCUCUGUACUUAAAUUUUUUCUUCUUUUUUUAAAUUUAGCAUGAAAUUGAGUGAUAUAUAGCAAUUUGGCAUGUUAAACUUUGAUGAUCCUUUGUUGAUAUCAAUGAAAUGUUUUCUUCACAAAUUCACAUACCUGGAGACAUAUUGAAGCAUGAACUAUUGCUAAAGAUAGACACAUACUUUACAAACAUUAUUUGUUGAAACAAUGCACAACUAGAUUGCACUUGUAAUGCUUUUUGAAGAAGAAUGGUUAAUCAUUUUUUUUUUGGGGUGGGGCUGAUUCGAGAGGCAAUAUCUAUUUUAUUCAUCAUCAUUUCCCUCGGGCAUGAAGAUAACAAACUAAACAUACAUGUGAAUUUGAUGUUAUAUAAACAUUUACUAUAUUUUCUGAAUGGUUGAAAUCUUAUACUAGUAUAUGAAACAUGUUACGGCAGGAAGAGUUGGGUCAAUGGAAUUUCAUAAGCAGUGGGAAUGGCGUUUAUUAUGAAGGACAUAUGUUCCCUUUAUGUGUUGAGGAGCAGCUGGAUUUUUGGCCAGAGAAAGACAUCCGUCAAAGAGUAUGGGUAAGUUUGAACGCUCAACUAACUUUGCCUUAUAAUUUCGCUCCAGCCUUUGGGUUAUGAAACAGAAUUUCUGAUUCUAUGUGCAACUUAUUUCCUAUAGAUGAGUGUCCCAGAAGCUAAAGAAGUUUGCCAGCAUUGGUGGAUGAAAGAAGCCUUGGAUCGAUUAGUAAACCGUCUCGAAUCUCUAGAGAAGCAUGAAUAGGGCCUUUCACUAUAGCCUAGUGAAUCCAAUUAGAUCUAGCUUGUACAUAGGAAAACUGCGAUUCAAAGUUUAGACCAGAAGAUUAUGUAGGAUCGAAUCAACUGACUCAACAAACUUUAAUUCGAAUGCAGCUUAGGAUGAAUGUGGUGAUUUGGUGGUAAAACUAUACUACCUUUCUUUUGAAGAUAUACAACAUUUCUUUUUCAAGUUUGAAACUUGAUCCAUGUAUUUCUUCAGGAAGUUUGUUUAUGUUUUCCUUCCAAAUUCUAGAAGAAAGAUGUACAUUUUUUGUUGAAUAAUAUUAUUGGGUGGUCCCUGAAAAAAGAAAAUUAGUAGUUCAAGCUGUUCUUUUCCAGCCCAAGUGUAUGUAUGUGCAUGUCCUGAUCUGGUGCACAAUCUAGAGGAAUAUUCUUAUUCAUUUAUAGUUGCAUUAAUUUAACUUGACUAACAUAGUAGAAAAUGAUAUACUACUGUCCUAGUUGGUAUUUGAUGGGAUGUUUGUUAUGUGGACUAAUGGACAUGGAGCUGCUGCUGCCUGUGCUUGGUAAUCAUCACAGAAAAUGAUGAUUGUAGUCGAUUAUUUGAUCCAAAUAAAUAAUCACAUUGUGGCAGGAAAAAGUAUCUAAAUUUUAGAGUAUUCCGAACUCAAAUAUGCCAUUUACUUAUUUAUCUUCAUUACAAGAUUAUCUAUCAAACCAAAUCAAAUCCAGAUCUCUGUUAAUAUGAUGAUCCCACACUUGCUUUGGCAAUAAUAUUUAAUCAUGACCCUUGUGAUGAGCUAAUUUGGAAAGAAUCACUAAAACGAAAAAGUUCAGAAUUCAACUCUUUAGUAGAUAAGCACACUGAGCUUCUUCAAUAUUUAGUCCGUCACUUUGAUUUUUUUUUUAAAAAAAAAAGAAUAAGGAGAAAGUUGUUCUUAGAAUAUUUCAUGUAUAUAAUAAUUUUGAUUUUGGCAUGUAUAGAGAAAUGAAAUUUGGAGUCUCAUAUCGGGAUGGAAGUAGUAUAAGUAAUGGAGACGUGUUAUUGCUUUGUUAUCCAGAAAAAAGUUGUACAACAAGCCCACUGACCAACAUCAUGAAUUACUCACUCAAAUUAUAGCAGUCCAUUUCAUUUGAGAGAGAGGAGACAACCAACAAAUGUCCCUUGACCAUUGGGCCAAAUGUUAGGCUCUAUAUAUAUUUGAUUUUUCCCAAAUUUUAGGAUUAAGGUCUAUAUUUAAAUCAAUGCCAAGGCAUGAAUUAUGAAUAUAUAAUAUUUUUGAUUAGGACUGCACUAGUGAGAUUUUGUUUUAUUCAUAUUAUUAAAUUUAUUUUUUAGUUUGUUUUAUUAUGUUGCGAUUUUGCAUUUGAAAUUUUGAAUUUUAGGAUGAAUAUUUUUCAAGAUCUAACGCUAUUAAAUCAAUUUUUUUUUUGUUGAACCUAUUUAACAAUCAAUUAAUUAUGUCUCGGUCCAAAAAAUAAAGUCCAAUUUAGUUGAAAUUUAUAUGAAUUUUAUUAAUAUUUGUUAUUUAACUAUAAUGGCACCCCGCGUCUGCCCCGGAUUAGAUAUACUACUAUAUAUCUUAACUCUUAAGUUAUUCGACGUAGGAAAACAUAUACUAAAGCUUUUCCAAUACUUAUUUUGGAUCGGAUAAUAAUUUUCCAGAAACCUAAACAUAUUAUUUAUUGCUCUUCCUCUGCAUGGCUAUUGGCUAGUAUAUUCCAACUUUUUAAGAUAAUGGAAAUACUAAAUUACAACCAUAUAUAUAUAUAUAUAUAUAUAUAUAUAUAUAUAUAUAUAUAUAUAUAUAUAUAUAUNNNNNNNNNNNNNNNNNNNNNNNNNNNNNNNNNNNNNNNNNNNNNNNNNNNNNNNNNNNNNNNNNNNNNNNNNNNNNNNNNNNNNNNNNNNNNNNNNNNNAUUACGUUUCACUCACUUUUCAUGUACUAGUAGUAGUACUAUAGUAUAUAAAAGAAGCUCAUUAAUGCUAGAGACCUAGCUAAUACCAAAGUCCAUAACCUUAAUUAAUUUCCAUGGCGGCGACACUACUCUUCACAUUCCUCUUUUCUCUCUCAUCUCGCAUAAUUCUUUCACAUUCCAUUUCAGACUCCUUCGUCUAUGGUGGCUGCUCACAGCUAAAAUACGUACCAAACUCGCCAUACGAGUCAAACCUCAACUCACUCCUCACCUCCCUCGUCAACUCAGCCACUUACUCGUCCUACAACAAGUUCACCAUCACCGGCUCAAGCCCACAGGACGUAGCCUACGGUCUCUACCAAUGCAGAGGUGACCUCGCAAUGCCCGAUUGCGCCACCUGUGUGGCUCGCUCAGUGAGUCAACUCGGGGACGUGUGCAAACAAACGUCUGGUGGGACUGUACAGUUAGAAGGGUGCUUGGUCAAGUACGAUAACACUAGCUUUAUUGGUGUACAGGACAAGAGUGUGGUGAUGAGGAAAUGUGCGCCGUCGAUUGGGUACGAUACCGAUUUGAUGAACCGUCGAGAUGCGAUGUUGGCGAGUUUGGGUGGGGGCGGUGGGCCUUACAGGGUUGGUGGGUCAGGGGAUGUGCAAGGGUUGGCGCAGUGUUUGGAGGAUUUGAGUGUGGGUAAGUGUCAGGAUUGUGUAGCGGAGGCGAUCGGACGGUUGAAAAGUGAUUGCGGCGGUGCGGUGUAUGGUGAUAUGUUUUUGGGCAAGUGUUAUGCUAGGUACUCAACUAGCGGAGCUCGUGUGUAUGCAAAAUCAAACCAUGGUAAGAAAAUUUUCACUAGUACGUUACGUACACAUAUUUUACUUGCAUGAUUCAAUUUUAAAUAUUACUUUCAGUUCCAAGUUAUUUAUUUAUAAUCACAUGAUUUACUUAAAAAAAAUUCCAUCUUCUAAACUUUUAGUGUAGUACGUAUUUCAAUUCAAUUCCGCCGUCUAUUUAAUUUUCAUGGAAAACCAUGCAUGCAUCUUAAAGUUUUUUGUUUUUUAAUUUUAUUUAUUUAUUUAUGGAUGUGUUUGAGUGAAAUUUUUUUUCCAAUGCCAAUAUAUACAGGUAGUGGUAGUAGUAGUAAUUCUGAUCACAAUGAUGCUGAGAAGACAUUUGCGAUUGUGAUUGGACUAUUAGCUGGGGUUGCACUGAUUAUUAUUUUCUUAACUUUCGUGAGAAAGGUGAUUGGAGGAAAUGGUAUGAACUUUAUUUAUUCAUUGCCUGCCCGCCUUUUAUUUCUCAAUUUAUAAUCUUUUAAUUUAAUUUAAGUUAUUAGCAUUUCCUUUGCCAAAAUUCAGACAUAUAUAUAUAUAAUUAAUGAAUUUAGGGUUGCAUGUGUAUUUAUUUUUAAAUAUAUAUUUUUCUUUUUGCAGGUAAAUAAAUUAAAAACAAUGCAAAGCUUUGAGACCCUAGCUAGCUCGAUCCAUCGUUCAACAUUUUGAUUUGCUUUCUGUAUCCCUAAUUUAAUUUUGGCUCGAUCGAUCUUUCUAGAUCAUGAUGUCAACUUAAUUGCUUUGGUUUCUUUUGGGAUUACUUUAUGAUCGAUCGAUCGUGCAUGAAAUUAAGAUGUAACGAUUUGCCAAAAGGGCGGGCAUGCAUGUAAAGUACUCUCAAUCAAACAAACUUAAAAGAAUCAAACAAACUUAAAAGGAGGAAAGGAAAGGAAAGGAAAGGAAAGGAAAAGAAAAGAAAAGAAAAUAUGGGCUAAGAAUAUUCCACUCUCCUUUCCACUCAACAAAGUUGUACUGCAUGCAUGUUUAAUAAAUAUUGUCAAGAAAUUAAGUGCCAUAUUCUUUUUUUAAAGCUGCAAUUUAUAAAUAGAUGUUAAUUUCCUUGUCUGAAUUUGUUAUAGUUUUUCUUCCGUACUUUGUAUUCAUGCAUGCGUGUUGCCUCCCUUCAAUUCGUUUUACCAAAUAAUCAAACUCAAACAUUAAUUAAUUUAAUAAGGCACACUUUAUUGUUUAUGAGAGUGUAUAUAUAUAUAUAUAUAUAUAUAUAUAUAUAUAUAAUUAGUGGACCCAGUUAUCUUUAACUUUGAGUAUUACAUGGAACUUAUCCCAAAUCCAUAUCUUUUGGAUCUUAAUUGGUAUUUAUUUUCAGAAAUAAAAUUAUCUUUGCCGCCUUUUAUUAAAAAAAUAAAUAAAAGAAAUCAUGAUAAUUUAUUGAUCAUUUUCAUGAUAUUAUAAUUAAUCUCCUAAACUUAAAUCUUUGAUAUUAUCCUAGUCAAAUCAACAUCACAAUAUCCAUGCAUAAUCAGGAUCCAAAAUCAAUCCUUUUGGUUCCAAACUCGCUAGUAUACACAAGAAGUCACUUAUUCUCAUAAUAUUUAUGACGACUCGAAUUUGACCUAAAUUCAAAAUAAGACUACUCCACAUAUCAAAUCAAUUGACUCAUCUAGCUGUGUCCCACAUAAUUAGAUAAAAUAUCGAUCAUGACAAAUAAUUAUAUAUUGUGUGUAUAUAUAAACAUUCAGUGAUACCUCCAUCGAUCGAGCAGACCUCAAAUAAUAUGUGUAAUGUGUUUCUUCAUCCCACUAGAUAUACUAAUUAGUAGGAGUAAGGGUUUUGGUAGGAUAUCAAGCUCAUUUAUUGGGGAGGGAAUAAUGUAUAAACUCCCGCGAAUUUUGUUUUUCUUCAUUUUUACACCUUUUUUAUUUUGGAACGUACCAAGACGAUCGCAUGUUUUCUUUUCUUUAAUUAAUCAAUCAAUCAAACGUAAUGUGUAUUUGAGUUUAAGAAUUUAUUAAUACGUAGUCCGAUCUUGAUUUUAACUUACUAAUGUUUUGAAAUUCAUAGGUUUGAGCCCAUGUUAUUUUUCUAAAAGACUUGAAUUUCUGCUUGAUUAAUUGAUUGCUAGCUAUAUCCUAAAUCUAACAUUCUUGAAUUGAUUUCCCGUUCAUAAAUGGGAGCAAUAAAUAUUAAAUGUAUGGAGUAGUUGGUAAAUUAAAUCCCAUAAACUAGACUAAUUUUAUCCCACAUGCAUUUUCUUAUCAUCAUCAAACUCUGACAGAUUCUAUGGUUAUUGUUAUCAUUAUAAAUAAUCUAAAAGUCUCUUUUUCUUCCCCCUCGCAAUAAAGAAGAAUCAUUUUGUAUAUUCUCUCAACCAUUAUUAUAAAUAUAUAUAUAUAUAUAUAUAUAUAUNNNNNNNNNNNNNNNNNNNNNNNNNNNNNNNNNNNNNNNNNNNNNNNNNNNNNNNNNNNNNNNNNNNNNNNNNNNNNNNNNNNNNNNNNNNNNNNNNNNNACACAAAGGGUAUCUAUGUAUACAUGGUAUCUCGUGCACGAAUCUUCCUUUUAUCACCAAUCACCACGCAAUUGCUAGGACCCCAACUUUAAAACAAAGUACAGAAAAGUGAGUCAAUUAAGCCGACUUCUUUCGGUACUGUUCGAGGAAUGACUUAUUUUAAAAUAAUUUAUAAGUUAAAAUAUAAAUUGAGUUUUAAGUUCUUACUUAUAAGUAAAAGUGUUCGGCUAAUAAUAAUUUAUAAGUAAGUCAUAAAUUAAGUUAAAAUAAGUUAUGAAUUAAGGUGUUCGGCUGAUACUAACUUAUAAAUUAAAAUAAAAUAUAAAAAUUACUAAAAAUGAUAUUAGAAAAAGAUACAUAGAUUCAAUAUCAUAUCGAAAGUUAUUAUAGGUAACAACUUAUUUCAACAUCUAAUUGGUAAACACCUUAUUAUUUAACUAGCUUAUUGUUAAAUAACUUAUUAUUUGUAAACAUCUUAUUAGUUAAAUAACUUAUUGUUAAAGAACUUAUUAUUUAAACAGCUUAUUAUUGCUAGACAAUUUAUUAUUUAAACAGCUUAUUGGUAAAUAAUUUAUUAUUUAAACAACUUAUUGAUAAACAACUUAUUAUUAAAAAAAGCUUAUUGGUAAAUAAAUUAUUUUUUAAACAGCUUAUUUGUAACCAACUUAUUAUUUAAUCAGCUUAUUAUUGGUAAACAAGUUAUUUAAACAGUUUAUUGAUAAACAACUUAUAAUUUAAACAGCUUAUUGGUAAACAACUUAUUUUUAAACAGUUUAUUGGUAAACAACUUAUUUAAACAGCUUAUUGGUAAUCAACUUAAAAUUUAAACAGGUAAACAACUCAUUAUUUAAAAUAACUUAUUGGUAAACAACUUAUUAUUUAAACAGUUUAUUGGUAAUCAACUUAAAAUUUAAACAGGUAAACAACUCAUUAUUUAAAAUAACUUAUUGGUAAACAACUUAUUGAUAAAUAACUUAUUUUUUAAACAGUUUAUUGAUAAACAACUUAUAAUUUAAACAGCUUAUUGGUAAACAACUUAUUAUUUAAACAGUUUAUUGGUAAUCAACUUAAAAUUUAAACAGGUAAACAACUCAUUAUUUAAAAUAACUUAUUGGUAAACAACUUAUUAUUUAAACAGUUUAUUGGUAAUCAACUUAAAAUUUAAACAGGUAAACAACUCAUUAUUUAAAAUAACUUAUUGGUAAACAACUUAUUGAUAAAUAACUUAUUUUUUAAACAGCUUAUUGGUAAACAACUUAUUAUUUAAAACAGUUUAUUGGUAACCAACUUAUUAUUUAAACAACUUAUUAUUCCUAAACAACUUAUUAUUCCUAAUCAGCUUAUUAUUUAAAUAGUUUAUUGGUAAACAACUUCAAAUUUAAACAGCUUAUUAGUAAACAACUUAUUAUUUAAAAUAACUAAACAACUUAUUAUUUAAAAAGAUUAUUGAUAAACAAUUUAUUAUUUAAAACAACUUAUUUAAACUAUAAUUUUAAGCUAUUUUACACUCAUGAAGAGAUGAUCAUCAGGUUAUAAAUUGAUGGUAGAGCUGGAUAGGAUCUGAUUGUCAAACUUCAUAUUCCACUGAUGAAGCAUUGUUUGUAAAAGAAAUGAUGUUAUAUCUACUUCCAAAAAAUAAAAAAUAAAAAGAAUAAAAGUUUAGUGUAUGAUAAUAACACGAUUGUAAAACUUAAAUAAAAUUUCCAAUCGAGAUGUGACAAUGCCUCAUGAAAAAUACAAUAAUCACAUUUAUAAUACUACCUUAGUUCCAAAGGAAAAUUACAAUAAUAACCUUCAUAGUACUUGAAAUUGACAUGUUUUGAGCAAUUAUUUUUAUCUAAAUUAUUAUGACAUCUAUAAAUUGUUAUCAAUCCUUAAUAUUAAGUAACAUUUUUCCGAUGUAUAUAUAUGUAUAUAAUAUAUAUUAAAAAUUAUAAUUAUAUGAUAAAUUUUACUCUAAAAUUAGAGAUACAAUUUGAUUUUUGAGGUUAAACAACCGUAUAUUAAAUUUUAAAAUUGGCAUGCUUCGUAAAAGUUUGGAAUGAAAUAAAUGUUAUGAUUACUAGUUUUUGUUAUAUAUUAUACAAUUAUAAUAAUUAUAUCAACUAAAAUUAAAUAAAUUUACAUCAAUUUAAAAUUUAAUAUGUCUUUAUUUGGUCAAAAAAAUUAAAUUAUAUAUCUAAUUUUGCAAGGGAAGUAUAAUAUAUAUUAAUAUUCAAACAGGGCUCAAUCACUAGUAUUCAUCCAAAUAAAAAUUAAGUUUCACAAUUAGAAUUGAUUAAUUACCCGAAUGGACUUCCAGCCCAUUCAAUUUUUUAAUUUACUUGAAUCGCUUUCAGCUCUCCCCCUCCCUCCAAGCAUUCAUAUUUACCUAAUAGUUAGGUUUUAGGCUUUGAAGCCUUAAUAGCCUCUGCAGAACCACCACUUCCCCAGCAAUAUUAAUCUUUCUUCUUUUCCUCAGGCAACUUACGAUAGCAGGGGAAGAGAAAGACAAAGAGAAAGAGAAAGAGAAGGCAGAAGGCUAUAGCAGGGGUAAACAUGUAAUUUAUCAAGACAGAAGAUGGGAAAAAUACUCAUUACAUUUGGUUAAAAUAAUUUAUUAAGAAUAAUUUAUAAAUCAUUUUUUUUUAUAAAUUACAAAUUAUUACUUAUUUUUUUUGACUUAUUAGUCAUAAAGUAAGUCAAUCCCGAACUUAUAAGGAGCUCUCAAACAGACUCUUCAUCUACUAAUAACAUUUCGGUUAAUUUAAUUUGAGUAGAAAAUGUCAAUUUGAAAAUAUAUAAAAUUCUGUCCGAUUAUUAUUAUAUAAUUUGAGAAGUUACUCUAGGGGAUAGUAAGUUUUGUUACUACAUAAUUUAAAUUCUAACGUUCCGUUAAAAUUCUUACACUAGGGGUAGUAGGUUGGUUGUGUUACGUGCUCAAUAUUUUAAUUUAAGAGGCUAGCAGAUACUCCAUUUUUUGCUGGUUUUCGUUUUAACUUUUAAUUGUCAAUUGCUAAAGCAGGUGGAUUCAAGAAAAACGGGUUUUGAUUGUAUUGUAAAUUGCUUCCCUUCUCCAGGGAACUUUAAACAAUGAAUUAAAAGCGAACUAACUAUAACGACGAUUCGAACCAUCAUCAUAAUUAUGUCGUCGGCUUUGUAUGUUAUAGCGAUAUAAAAAAUUGUCGCUAUAGCCGAUUCGUUUUUGAUUCACAGGAGAAGGGGACCGUGUAUAUAUAUAUAUAUAUAUAUAUAUAUAUAUAUAUAUAUAUAUAUAUAUAUAUAAUUUUUUUAGUUGAGUUUUGUUUUUACUUAAUAUUUUAUAAUUGUGCUAUGUUACUAGUGUACCCUUUUUAUAAUAAUAAUAAUAAUAAUAAUAAUAAUAAUAAUAAUGAUGUAGUAAAGAAAUUUAUUUUGCAUACUUAAUGGGGCUAAUUAUUUUACUUUGAUCAAAUAGUUGGCUUAAUUAAUUGAUCUUGAUUAAUCAGUUGGGCUUCAUUGAUUUUUCAUGAUGUUAUUUAUCCUUUUGGGCUGGAUAUGUUUCUUUCUCCUGGGUCUUGUACUGUUUGUUUGUUGAAUGUUUGGUUUUCUCUGUAUUUGUUUUUUUUUAUAUUUUAAAUUCUAUUUUAGAGGCCCAACCCAACUCAUGUCAAUCUUGAUAGAUUUGUUGGCUUGUUUCCUUGUUUGCCCAUGCCUCAGUUUUUAGUUGCGAUUUGCCUCCACAGGCUCCCUUCCCCUCCUACCUUUUUAUUUGUCUUUUUAAAAAAUAAAUAUUUAAUUUUAAUUUAUCGUUUGUAGAUUUUAAAAAAAUAUUAAUGACAUUUUUUAUAUAUUAUCUCGACAUUAAAUAUUAAAUUAUUUUUCUUUAAUCUUUCCCAAUAAAUUUUAAAAAAAUUAUAUGGAGAGUUCAUAAAUAUUUUAAUCAAUUAAAUAAAACAUUAUAUAUAUUUUUUAAUCUUUAUAUUUUCUAAAAGAGAGUAACUACUUAACAUCCUCAAAGGUUAUUAUGUUUGCAAAUUUAUUAGAAGUCAGCUGCCUGCACAAGUAAAGCAUUGCCCACAAAGAGAGCAAAAAUGCCUUCCCUUAGCUACGAAGCAAUGAAUAAUACUGUGGAAUUUUUCAAUUUUAUUAUAAAGUCAAAGUUGGAGGGCUCGGGCUCGGGCUCGGGCUCGGGCAAUGAAGUAAUUGUUGUAUAUUAGUGUAAAUGACUCAAAGCUUAACCCACUCUAAAAAACUAAAACCGGCAGGUUUGCCAUAAUUUGUAAUUCAUUCUUUAUAUUACUUUUCUGUUUUACAAAAUUUUUUUUUAAAAAAAUCUCAUUUAUAAAUUGUCGAAUAUUAAUAAAUAUAUUUUUAAUUAUUAUCUAAAUACUUUUAAAAUAAUAAAUGUUAAUAUAAUAAUAUGAUUACACGACUACAAUGUCAUUUUGUACUACUAAUAUACUUUAAUAGAUUGUAAUGAGAAAAAGAGUGGUAAUUAAACUGUUAUGUUGAAGAAAUAAAAUGGAGACAAAAUAAAAUGAUUUUAAGUUUAGUUGUUGGAGGUGGUGGGUGUUAUCAUAUAAUACAAAAUUAUCACAUAUAUUUAUUUUAUUAAAAUUAAUUUUAUUCUACCUUCUCCACAUCUAAUAAAAAAAAUAAAAAAUAAAAUAAUUUAUCGUCAAAAACAAUCAUCAAUUAUAUUAUUUUUAUUUCAUUAUUUCUCCAAUUUCAUUCCCACAUUCCAAAUGUUAAAUGUAACGGUAAAGUACACAAUUACCAUGCACACGGUUUAAUACUAUGCCUCUGGUGUGCUACGGAUGUUGUAAACGCGUUUAACUCAUCAAGUUAGACCGAACCGGGUUCGAUAACUACAACUUCCCCGGUCUAAACCUCAACCCCGUUGUGUACAAGAACCGAGCUUUUCUCCUCUUUUUCUCACUCACCAACCUGCUCACUCUUUCUUUCCUCCAUUUUUCAUCUUCUACCUUUUCUUUCCCCCAAAGAAACCCCACAAGCUCCAAGAUCAAGAGAAAAUGGCGUUGGAGUGGGUUGUUCUAGGCUACGCUGCAGGCGCAGAAGCCGUAAUGCUCCUCCUCCUCACGAUCCCAGCUAAUUUCAACCCACUUCGCAAGGGCCUAAUCGCCGUCACUCAAAACCUCCUAAAACCCUUCCUCUCAAUCGUACCCUUUUGCCUAUUUCUCCUAAUGGACAUUUACUGGAAAUACGAGACGCGUCCCUCCUGUGCGGAGCAAUCCUGUUCCCCUUCCGAGCAUCUUCGCCACCAGAAAUCCAUCAUGAAGAGCCAGCGCAACGCCCUUCUCAUCGCCGCCGCUCUCGUCUUCUACUGGCUGCUGUACUCGGUUACCUCCCUCGUUGUUCGAAUCGAUCUAUUGAACAAACGGGUCGAGAAAUUGAAAUCCCAGGAUUGAUUCGAGAUAAGAUGAAACCCCCUUUUGUUUACCGUCUUAUAUCUAUCUGUUGGAGUUUGUUUGUUUUGGAUAUGUUUUAAUAUUAGGAUCUAUGUUUUGCUUAUGUAUUAUUGGUAGUACGUUCGGUUUAAGUUUGAUACUUGUUUGAUUUGGUGUAUUGGGGUUUAUAUCAAAAUAUGGUUAAAUGUUCUGCCUUUAUUGUUGCAAUUGAGGAUUUCUUCGUGUUUUGGUUGAAUUUAUAUGGGUUUCUGAAUGUAUGAGCUAGGAGUUAACAGAACAAUAUUGUCAUAUUGAUAGAAUUAAGUAAUGUUGAUUUUAUGGUUUUCAACUUGUUAUUUGUGAAUUUCUACACAUUUUCAUUUUGCACUGGGCAUCAAGGGGUUUUCCGUAUAGUUACAGUAUCUCAAAUCUGUAUUUAAGUUUUCUUUUCUGAUGGGCUUGAUAGAGAGUAAUUCAGUAUUCUUAUAUCCCUCUGUUCCACAAUCUCACUUGCAAAAUUUGCAGACUUUAACUAUAUAUUUUCUUCCAUGUUUAUCCCUAAAUAUACUGUGUUUAGACUUUAGUGUAGUAGUGGUGACAUUGUAGUGAAAUUGUGUCAUUGUAUCAUUUUGUACUAUCAUCAACAAAAAAUCUUUUUUUUUUCUGUGGAACAAGUUUUUUUUACAAAUGAGACUGUUGUUGAAUGGAGGGAGGGAGUAUCAUUUUAAUGCUAUGAUUUUUAGAUGUAUAUGAAUAGGGUAUUUAUUCUUUUAUUUGUCUGUGUGGAUCUGUGGGAUGAUGCUUUUGCCCAUAGCCUAGGGAUCGGUCUUUCAUAGAGUGGUAUGAACCUUGUUAAAAAACUUAAAAUUAAUGUAGCGCUAGUGUGGAUAGAUAACUCAACGGCCUCAAGCAUAUAAAUGCAAACCUUAUUCUGUUUUACUAUUCGUUAUGCGGUAAGUCGUUUGAUAAACUUAAUCUCUCAUCGAUUACUUGGAUUACUGUAACCAUAAUUUUCAAGUCGUCGACUAGUCGUCUGGUGGGUACUUGCUAGCCAAGUCGACUGGACUACCUGGGGAAUGUUGUUAAGUCGUUGCCUUAGGUCGAUUAGUCGACUAGCCAUACAAAUUUAAUUUUAUUUUGUACUUUAGUUGGCAUAUAACAAGUUUGUUGUCCCUUGACCCACCUUUAAAAAAUUAAUGGACACAGAAUUGCCUAUAAUAAUUUCCAUAAGUACUAAUAUUUUAUUAAUGGGCGGUCAGCUUGUUUUUCUUUUCCUUUUUUUUAAACAAUGGGCAUUUUGCUGCCUUUUAUUUUUUUCCAAUGGACAGUACAAUAUAUUUAUUACAUUAAUGAAUUGUGAAUAGUAAUAUAUUUGUGAGAAUAAUUUUUAUUUAAUGUAAUUGAAAUGAUAUAUAUAUAUAUAUAUAUAUAUAU